Molecule: long non-coding RNA, 71697 nt
Filed under: Brachypodium distachyon (stiff brome)
Lineage: Eukaryota; Viridiplantae; Streptophyta; Magnoliopsida; Poales; Poaceae
Description: long non-coding RNA (BDIS_LNC004051)
Rfam family: U11 spliceosomal RNA (bases 16561-16688)
Source: RNAcentral
GCCCCAAAGUAGUCACCAAGCCAGUCAAAAUAUCCACGCGCUGCGACUUGAUCGACAAGAAAUUUGGCACGAAUCUCCCUAUAAAAGGGGGCAGGCAGGCAGCAAAGUGUAACCGGCCAGAGCACAUCAGUCAACAACCAAAUCAGGCCUUGCAGAGACAGUAAAAUUAAGGUGUUUUGGAGGCCUGAAAACCCUGAGAUCGAUCAGGUGAUCAUGGGGUACGGGUCGUCACCGAGCUCCCCUUGGCUGGCGGCAUUGGCAUCGUGGCUGGCGAGCUUCUGCUCGGGCUCUAUCAACAACUGCGACGAAGGGAAGGUCGACGUUGCGAGGAGGCAGAUGGGCGCAGCUGCCAAGCACUUCUGCAGCGCUCACAAGAUAAAGUUCAGCUAGUUCUAGGCUUCUACUCAGUAGCUUAUAGGAGUACCAUAUAAAGGAGGUUAUUCAGUUAAUUAUUACUGUAAUUCUCUCUCGAGAUACCGUUGUGUGAGAGGGGCAAGUGUAAGGUGACAUGAAGUGUAAGUAGAACUAUUUUCGGUGUCGAUCGAUCGCAAUGUCUCUAACUAAUUCUGUGAGUAAUUUGUCCAGGGCUCUCCGCUCUCCUGGGUCUCACGUGCCGGCAGUGGCACCCAUGGCCGCGCCCAGCUCACGAAGGCGACAGGUCACUCCCAAAGCCCCGAACUCACAUGCUUUCUCCCCUAAGAAACAGAUCACUGCUCCACAACCGAACCGGAAAAGCAACACCAAAAAAAUCCAAAGCUAGCGCGCAAAUGGCCGUCUUAUACUGCAUCUAACAACAAUGAACCUGGAUGGAUGGAUCGAUCGGGUAAGUAAUUAACCUGGCGGUGGCUAUGGAUGGAUGGAUGGGUGCGUUGGCCACGUGAUGGCCCAAAAGCUCAGCUAAAACUAUAUAUGCUCUCAGAUCUGACUGACGAGCUAGCAGAGGAUAUUCUUGAGUUAAUUAAUCAGAUGAGGGAGUACAGUAAUUGUUUACUGAUCCCUAAACGGAUUCCUCAGAUUGGGCACUGAGAGUUGCAGAGGGAAUGUUCUGUUCUGCUCUGCCGGGCACGUCGCUUUCUCUCGCUCACACACCACUGAUGGAUGGAUGGCCUCCUGUCAAUGAUGGAUGGGGAUCAAAUCGGUUUUCUUAUGGAGUAAAAGGAAACGGCCGGGAAGCUUCGUGUGUUAUGCGGGGCACAUGCGCGUACCUAUAUAGCUUGUCGUUUUAGGCCGGCGGGGCGCAACGACAACGAUGACGAUCGACGACUUGCGUUGAGCUAAGCUAUAGGCAGGUCCUAAUUUUAGCUUUAACUCCUACCUACUGGAUUAGUGGCUAGUGGAGUACUAUGGCAGGGUUCAUGAACCCCGGCCAGCAGCUUGAUUUUGAGCUAGCUACAAAGGUCGUCGUCGUCGUUGUUCUAUCACUUCACCCGGAUUUGUUAAACAGGUGAUCUGAUGCUCCCCCUACCUGUCUUUCACGCGCCAACGCGUACGUUCCUAGUUCCUAGUAUAGUGGUGCGCGCGGUGGUGCCGUGCGCGAAGGGCACGAAGCACGAGUGGGAGUACUACUGGAGCCGGGCGGGCUUGGUUCAUGCACCGGCGCACGCGUAUGAUUGAUGGAUGGACCCAUGAGAUCGAUCGAGCACGUGCACUACCAUGGCAUGGUACGCCGCAGGCUAGCUAGCUAGGCACGGGUGACAAGGACAGGACGACAGGGGGCAAAGGCAUAGGCAGGUUGAUCGGUCGAUCUUGUGAUCUCCUGCGACACCGCGCGCGGCAGGUUGAAACGUGCCGUGCCGAUCGAUCGACGCAGAGAUCUCGCCCUUUUUGCACUUAAAAGGCCGCCAGCGCGACGCGAUCGGCAUCAUGGCGAUGGCGAUGCUCUGGCGCGCGGCAUGGAUCACGCACGGCACGCCCCGGCGUCUCACGGACCGGCACAUGAGAUGGCAUGCGCCCCGGCUGCUGCCGCGGCAAGCCAGGUUGUCGCGGCGCGCGCGUAGCUCGGCAUGUGCGCCCAACGGAUGGGAGGCGGUGGAAACACAAGGAAAGGAAAGGCCCGGGGCCACUUCGAUCUCCAUUCGUCCAGCUCGUGGGUGGGGGUGGGGGGCGAUCAACAGGCCGGCAUAGCGCCUUUGCGCAUCGGCAGCUAUAGGCUGAUGUUGUCCGUUAGUACGCAAUUUUUUUUUUCAACCCGGGAUCUCUCCCCUUUCCAUUACUUUCAUAACGGAAAUACAAAUGUCCGCGAACGAGAGCUGAGAACGAGGGAAACAGGAAGGAGAAAACCUAGGAACCAACUACGGCGGGCAGGAAACCCACUGACCAGAUCCUACAAUCAGGACCUGACUAUGGGAUGAAAACCUGACUACGACGCAUCAUCUCCUUAGCAGUAGCCACCAAUGAUCUGACGCCCUCCUUCAGAAGCUCCACAUCAGCUGGUUUCUGGAGACCUGUCCAAGAUAGCAGGAAAGCACAAGCAGUGAAAAUGAUCUCGAAAGGUGACUUCAUAACAAACUUAUCAAAAGUAAUCUUAUUCCUAUAAGUCCAAAUACCCCAGAGUACAGCAGCAAGGCUAACAAUAGAGAAACGAUCACCAAACGAAAGAAAAGCAUGCAUCCAGGAAAAAUACUGCCACAGAAAUCUGGGCACGGGGGAAGCACCAAACAUGGUACCAACAACCCCCCAGAUCACUCUAGCAUUAGGACAAGUAAAGAACAGGUGAGUAGCUGUCUUCUCCCGACAACAGAAAGAGCACACAUGAUUGCCAGGCCAGUUUCUUUUUUUCAUGUUAUCCCUAGUUAACACAGCAUCAUGAAAAAGUAGCCACACAAAAAUUUGGAAUUUUAGGGGGAUUUUUGCUUUCCAAAUCCAUUUAUGAUGAGCUCCAUAAAGAUAUCUUUCCAACCAUUUGUACAUGGAUUUGACAGUAUACUGCCCAGACUUAUUAAAGGUCCAACACACAUAGUCCUGUUCACCAACAAGCAGAAUGUUAUGUGCUUGAGCACAAACAGAAUCCCACUGAGUCUGAACCUCAGGAGACAGCCUUCUUCUGAAACUGAUAGAGUUUGCAUCAUCCAGGAAAGCAGAGAUAGUAAUCUGAGUGGGAGAACAAAUGCUAUAUAACUCAGGAAAUUGUAUAGAUAGAGGAGCAGGGUCAGCACCCCACACAUGUUCCCAUAACCUGACUAACUGUCCAUUUUUCACAACUAAUUUCCUCCCAGCCAGGUAAAACUCUCUCACCUUCAGUAAAGAUUGCCAGCAUAAAGAAUCUUUAGAUCUCAGUUUAACAGUAGGAGCAGAACAGUUAUCAAGAUAUUUUUUUCUAACCACAUCUUGCAAUAAGCCCUGGCCACAUUCAAGUUUCCACCACCAUUUAUAUAAGAGACUAAUAUUCUGUUUCCUUAGGUCUUUCACACCCAAGCCACCUUUGUCUUUAGACCUGCAUACUCUCCCCCAUUUCACCAAAUGGUAUUUUCUUUUCUCACUAUUACCUUGCCAGAGAAAUUUUCUUCUGUGCUUGUCCAACUUCUUCACAUAGGUUUUGUUGACUAAAAACAUAGACAUGUGAUAAGAAGGGAUAUUGGAAAGGCAAGCAUUAAGCAACACAGUUUUGCCACCCAUUGAUAAACUACAACCUUUCCAGGCUUCAAGCCUUUUGGAAAUCUUAGCAUCAAGAAAAUCCCAGUCUCUAUUUUUCAAAGAUGCAAAAGUAACAGGAACACCCAAAUAUUUCAGGGGCAAAGAGCCAACUUGGCACCCAAACAAGUCAGCAUAGAAGACAACAAUAUCAUUAUCCCCACCAAUUACAAAAACUUCACUCUUCAUGAAAUUAAUUUUCAAACCAGACAUAAGUUCAAAGAUAUACAACAAGAAUUUCAGAUUAACAGCUUUAACAGGGUCAUGUUGGAUGCAAAGAACAGUGUCUCAGCAUACUGCAAAACAGCCAAGCCAUUCUCAAUAAUAUCAGCAGCAAGUCCAACAAAUAAACCAUUACUUUGUGCCUUGAGAAUCAUUUUAGUAAGACAUUCAGCAGCAAUAUUGAACAACAAGGGAGAUAGGGGAUCCCCCUGUCUUACCCCCUUAGCACUUUGACAAUAAGGACUCAGCUCAUUGUUAAGUUUGACAGAAACAGUUCCAUCUUUUAAAACUUGUUGAAUCCAUAAGCACCAUUUGUCAUUAAAACCUCUCAUUCUAAGACAGCUUAAAAGGAAAGCCCAAUUGACCUUAUCAUAUGCCUUCUCAAAAUCAAGUUUGAGGAUAACCCCAGUUUCUUUUUUCACAUGUGUGUGAUGCAUGAUCUCAUGCAAGGUCAGAAUUCCAUCCAUAAUAUUUCUUUUCUUAAUGAAAGCAUUCUGUUGAACACUAAUGAUCUUAUCAGCUAGAGGUUCUAACCUGACAGUGAGCACCUUAGUAAUCCACUUAUAAAUCACCCUCAGCAAACAAAUUGGCCUAAACUGUUGAAUAGUAUCAGCACCGGCAAUUUUAGGAAGGAGAGUUAUAAUCCCAUAGUUCAAUCUAUGCAUAGCAAGGUGCCCUUCAUGAAAAGCAGCAAACAAGGCCAUCACAUCAUACUUCAUGAUAUGCCAGGUAGCCUGGUAGAAUUCAACAGGUAUAUUAUCAGAACCAGGAGCUUUGUUAUGUUUCAUAAUAAACAAGACCUCUUUAAUCUCAUCCUCAGAGAAAGGUUGUGUUAGGAUUUCAUUAUCCAGAUCAGAAAGAGUUUCAUGAAGAGCCCACAAAUAGGGGAAAGAGCAAAUAAGUUGCUAGGGGCAGGAACAAACAACUCCUUAUAGUACUCAGUAGCAUGGGCCAUCAACUGAGGUGUGCCCUCAAUCAGCACCUUAUUUUUUUUAAGAUGAUAAAUGGUGUUUUUCCUCUUUUUUUCAUUGGCAAUCCUAUGGAAAUAAGCAAUAUUCUGAUCCCCUGAAGGAUCCAGUUAGAAUGUGAUUUCUGUAUCCAGCUCAAUUCCACAUCAAUAUACAAGAAGUCCAACUCAGCUUGAAUCUCAACUUUUCUCCCAAACAACUCUGGGGGAAGUACAGUUACUUCCUCCCAAGAUUCAAUAGCUGCAAGCUCCUCCUUGAGCUCAGCUCUCUUUUUCCUAGUGGUGCCAAACAGAUUGGAACCCCAACCCUUGAAGUAUUUUUUUUAUCCUUUUUUGUUUAAUGUUAAUGAUGUCAAUGGGAUCGGAACUGAAAACUGGUUUUUGCCAAAUCUCCUCAACUUUAGGCAAGAAAUCAUCCUUUUGCAAGCAGGAUAAAUUAAAAUGAAAAUCUCUAUGUGUUUUAGGAGUACAAUUCUCAUUAGUAUUCAACAACAAAGGACAGUGAUCAGAUUUGUCCCUGAUCAGUUUAGUAACAGAAAUCAGAGGAAUAAGUCCUCCCAACGAGCAGACGUCGAGAUCCUAUUAGCGGUGAUCGAUCAUCACGGAUCUCAUCGAAGCCUGGCCGUCGGGUAAACAUGCUCAAAAUCGAUACCGGACAUGGUGUCAUUUUUCCCGACAUCGUAAAAUUCUGCGCGUCAAUUGUCCGUCCUUCUUUGCGUAGUUUGCUUGCUGUUUUAUUAUACGUGUUGUCAGGACACGUGGAAGAGAUGGAGGGAGAGAGAGAGAGAGCGCGCUUGUUGUGCGUAUAAACUUUUUGAAGAUUUUCAAGAUAUACAACACGAUCAGACAGGCAGGCAGGCAGGCAAUGCUUUACCCUCCCACUUUGUUAAUCCCCUCCUCUCCUCCCCGACUACUCUCUCUGCCCAGACUAUAAUAAGCUCUCUGUCACAGCCGAACCCGCGCUGAACAUUCCACCGAUCAGUACUACCAGCUGCUGCAGCAAAGAUCCAGGCACCGUCAUUCUGCUGCCGAGGCAACGUACGGCAGGCAGCUCCGACAGAUCUCCCGAGUCCCAAGUCAUCCCGGCCGUGUCCCAAUGGAGCUCUUCCAAGGUAAUUAAACAUGCCAAUCAAGAGAUAACUCCACAGCGCGGUCGUGAUGCCUCUCUUCUCUGCUACGUGCAUGCUCGAAUGAAUACUCAUCUGUUUUUCUCUCUUCCGUGGAUGCGUGGUGUGUGUUCAUGUGUAAUUCUGCAGGGGAGGAGCCGGCCCAUGAUUUCCUCUCGCUCCGCGCAGGAGGAGGCUCGUCGCCGUUCCAGCACAGGCUGCAGUCCGCCCAACAAGGUGAGAAUCAUCGCUGUAUCUCCGUUGAGCUAGGCUGGCUGGCUGGCCGGUGUUCUGUGUCUUUCCAUUUUGUUUUACUUCUCCUACCUGUUCGCUUUGAGAAGCAAGUGCAAACCUCGGUGUGCGAAACAGCAAGGCAGCCUCUAGCACUUGCAGAUCAUGUGCGCCAGCUGCUCGCUAACAUGCAUUUUCUUACAGCAGGAUAUGGCUUGGGGCCGCACAGCCUCGUGAAGCCGGCUGAGCCAGUCAAGCAGUCUAGCAGCCACGGCGGCGAUGGAGCGGUCAGUGCGGCGGCAGAUUUGGGGGAGCAAGUGUUGCCGGGCGGCGUUGGCACGUUCAGCAUCAGGCAAGUGCCUGACGCCCGGCCGAGGGAAGAAGCUGGCAUGGGCAGGGAUGCAUCUGUUGCUGCUGUCCAUCAGGGCUCCAGAAUGGAGAUUGCACAUGAAGCACGAUCCGGAGCUAUGGUUCGCAGUGCUCCUCCAUCUACAAUGUGGCAGGAUUCUGGCAUUGAUAAGAGAUCUAGAGGUAAGACAACCGGUUAACUUGUUUUGCACCAAGUAGCAAAUCGCGUGCAGUAUAUUGUUCUACGGCACCGGUCCGGUUCAGACACUGAUUGCUAUGAACAUUCAGCGGCGAGAAGCAGCGGCAGCAGCGCCGACCAGGAGCCCAGCAGUCCGAGAUCAAAGCAUUCCGCUACCGAGCAGCGGCGGAGGACCAAGAUAAAUGACAGGUCAGAUAAUUUAGGUCCAUGGUGAAUUGCGUUAUGCAGAAUCAAGAGGCAGAAUAGAACAAUACAAAAUAGCAAUGAAAACAAUGAGAGCGCAACGUGUUAUAAGCAUAUUCAGUCAGACAGGACCUCCCAUGGACAAGUAGUGCUGCAUACAGUUCCAGAAUAAUUCAUUCUUAGGAUGUGAUCCUAACGUUCUAACUAUCUUUCCAUUCUGUCAUUCAGGCUUGAUAUACUUCGGGAACUCCUGCCGAACUGCGAUCAGAAGAGGGAUAAAGCUUCUUUCCUUCUGGAGGUUCACAUAACAUCUUGUGAAUUGGCACAGCAGUCAGCAGGUUAUUCUUGCAAAUUUUCACCUCAUGCUAUAUUCUGUUUGCAGGUUAUUGAAUACAUACGGCUCUUGCAAGAGAAAUGCCAAAAAUAUGAGUCAGCCAUUCCUGAAAAGGAUCCCACGGAUUCCAAAUCCAUGGCAUGGGUAUGUGUAGCCAUGCUACCUUGUUUACAUGUACUUCCUCUGUCCCAAAAUAAGUGACUUGGAUUUGUAUACAAAUCCAGGUCACUUAUUAUACUAAUCCAAGUCACUUAUUUUGCGACGGAGGGAGUACAAUAAUCACAAGGCAUAUUUACCAGAAUUGUACACAAGGUUACUUUCAAAAUUCUGAACUGCUUUUCCUCAACCUUUUCUAAUUGGCAGGACAAAGUGUACUGCAGAUCACGGUGGAGGAACACACAGGUAAUUUCUAAAGUAAUGGAUUGCCAAAGAUAGAGACUACAAAAACAUUUGAUUUUAAGUGAACCCACUAUAUCAAUGACAUGCACCAUCAUUUGUUCUUUUAUCAUGGUUUCACAGAACAUUAGUCAAGGCCAAGGAGGAGGUUUAUCAGCUGCCACAGAAGACAUGAACAAUGAGCAGCAUUGCAGUCCCAAGGGCAUUACAGUUGCACCCACUUCUCUCUUCACUACACAAAGUGUCAAAGAAACUAGUACAACAGCCAGUUCCUCCCAAAACAUUAUAGGUACGGCUAUUUUUCUUUGCAAAAUAGCUAUAUGUCUAGAUGUUCCCCUUUGGUGUUGUUUAAUACUCCCUCCAAUCCUAAAUUGUUGUCAAAAUAUUACAUGUAUCUAGACGCUUCUUAAGAAUAGAUACAUCCAUAUUUGGGCAAAUUUGAGUCAAGAAUUUAGGAUAAGAGGGAGUACCUUUCAGUAGUUAGCUUUUUUGUAAAUGGUGAGAACUAGAUUUACCAUCCCUGGUGUAUCCAAAUGACCAAAUGCAGAGAACAACAUGCCUAACAAUCAGCUAUCAUGGCUGAGUAUGUCAACCAUGAACCAAAACAGUAAUGCAAGCAACAGCAAGCUAAGCAAGCAGGAGACGCAGAGUCUCCGCAAUGAUACUCAGAGUCUUUCCAGUGCGUACUCACAAGGGUAUGUCCUUGAACCUUUUCUGCUUACAUAAAGCUAUCACUGCAAAUGUAUGUAGUGUAACUAAAAGAACACUGCUUUGAUUCGUGACAGGUUGUUGCAUAAACUGAAAGAAGCUCUACAGAAGUCAGGAGUAGACCCAUCUCAAGCAAAUAUAUCUGUGGAGAUCAAUAUGGAUAAACGGGCAAGAGCCAAUGCUCAUAUACAUGACAAUUCAAAGGUAUAAUAAUGAUUUAAGGUUUAGUGAUCAAUGUGGACAAGUUCAGCUUUAGAAAGUUUCUAAAUCAUGUUAUGACUUGUUCAUAAUUGACAAACAUAAGAAAGCAAUAAUUUACCCAGUCUUUUCACCUCAUUUCAUAGGCUAAUGAAGGCAAAGAACCAAUGCACAUAACCAAGAGGCUCCGGUGCGACUGAAGCUACAUCUCUGUCCCAAACUCGACAAUUCAUUCAACGCGAAGUUCAGAAGGGGACUUUGCAAACCACAACUGAUGCAAUUAUUUUAUUUAUGUUGCAAUUACAUUUCACUAACCAAAGCUUCAUUCAUAUACCGAGGAAGGUGCUUUUGCGAGAGCAGCUCCCAUUUUCUUUUCUUUAGUUUUGUAAAUGCAGUUCAGAUUCUAAAAUGUGUGUAUUUCUACAUGUAAAGGUCUCAAUUAAACUCAAUUCUUUUCUAUAUAGAAGAAGUCGUAACAUGCAGCUUGUAUUGGAAGUUAAAAUAACAAUUCAAACUCAUUUGAACAUACACUGGAUUGGAUUGUAAUGCCAUUGUAUCAACCUUCCAUGAUUCCAUCCAUUAAAUUGAUAAGUAAUAAAACCGUAAACAUCUGCUGUACUAUACUAAACUUGUGAAUGAUGAUUUGAAACAUCAACGAACCGUGGGUAUGUUUGCAUAUAUCAUCAGACUAUGUUUCCCUUUUUCAUGGGUAAGAUUGGAGCUGGGUUACAUCACCUGGCGCUCGGCUGCAUCUGCAACUAUGGGCAGCCGUGGCGUCAUCCCGAGCAUGCACGCGCCCCCGCCGUAGACGAGGCAGACGAGCAGGAAGAGGAAGACGGUGUUCUCCAAGCUCUGGAAGAUGUCCAGCCCGAUCCCGGCGCCUGAGGGCGCGAAGGACUGUGCGAGGAGGUCGGGGACGAUGAGCAGCACGUCGAGCGCAACGGCCUGCAUGGCGUUGAAGCGGACGAAGCGGGAGAAGGCCUGCUGGUUGCGCACGACGGCGAAGUAGAGGGUGAGGAAGAGGAGGAAGGGCGUGAGCGGCGAGGAGUGGAAGAGGCGCGCGGCGGGGGCGAGCGGGCCGAGCAGGGCGUUGAAGAAGGGGAACUGGGCCACGAGGAAGCGGCCGUGGUGCGCGCCGUCGAGGAACGGGUAGAGGUAGGCGACCGCCGCCACCAGGCGGUCGGGCGCCCCCACCGCGUCGCUGUUGUCGUUGUUGGCGCGCGGUGGCGGGGCGAGGAGACGGAGCGAGCGCGGGCGCGGGCGCAGCGCGGUCACGCCCACGCCGGCGGUGGGGGUCGCGCCGAGGAGGGGAAAGCGUGGCGCGGGGGACUUGAGGAGGGACGGGGCUGCGCGGUGGAGCGGGCGAGGGGAGGAGAGGAGGAGCGAGACGGUGGACGCCAUGGGGGAGCGGCGCGGCCGGUGCGAGCCUCGGCGCCGAAGGGGAGUGGGCUGGAGAUUUUUGUGUGGAGUUUGAGCGGAGGGGCACGGCGGUGGCGUUUGGCUUGGCAGUGGCAGCGUGGCGCGGGCAAGGCUGCUGCUGCUGCUGCCUCCGAGGGAGGGGACUUUGGAGCGGAGAUUUUUGUGGAGUUUUGGGGGGAUGUGGCCGAGUGGGAGACGAUGAGAUCGGUUGGUGGUGAAGUGAGGAGGGAGGCCGGCGCGGCUGAUGAUGGGGCUUUCUCACGGGCCGAGCUUGCCGUGCCGUGCUGCGCUGUUGAACGGGCCGGGAAGAGGAGUGGGCCCGUGCGUCCAUGUGGGCUUGGGUGCGGGUUGGACCGUGCAGCAUGGGUGGUGGCCUGCAUUGACUACUACUCCCUCGUUUUUUUAUUUUUGGAAGGGACCCCCCUCGUUUGUGCAGCACAUGGGCCAUGACACCUUGCUGAUCUACACUAGUACCAAUGUCCUGGCGGCGGUUAUGAAAAUCUAGCAGCAGUUCUUCCUCCCGUCCAAACGAGAAGAUGAUCCCCAUGCUGGAUCUUACCCGCGGCCUUGGCAUCUAAUGUAAUAAUAACUCAGUGAUCCCAUGCUGGCGCACCACCCGUGACAGUAUAUAAAAAUGUGCAGUAACAACAGUUGUUAAACGCCCAAGGUACGUGGCAAGGUUGCUCUUGCGUUAAGGUGAAUCCCCGUCCGGGCGGUCACCAGACUCACCACUGAAAACAAGGAGGAUGCACGAACUUGCACGUCAAUUGGCGAUGCACGAUGCGCCUAGGAUCUGGCGCACGUCGGGGACUAUUGUGCAUUACGUUAAGUUGCGCCCGCAUGGCCGCAGAGCGGAGAAGACUACGGCGGCAUUGAGAUCCCACUAGCUGCUGCAUCUCACCGAUUAACGGCCACUGAGGGAAAGAACUUAUGUGAAUUCUAUUUUAUUUUUUUAAGAUGGAACUUGUUAGAACUCUAUUACUGGAGUAAGUACCAUGUUUGGUGACCUAUGCCCUCCUUUUGACAGGAAUGGUAUUGAACACACAGAUAAUUUGUAAUCGGUUCGAUCAUGCUCCAUGACAGUCUUAAUGCUCAAAUCCCUAGUACUGACGGUAAUACAUAAAAUGGUCUAGUCGUACUGUUGUAGGAGUUGUACCAUUACUGAACUCCUAGGAUUGCUCUUGCAUCAAUGUUAAUCCAGUCUUAAUCGUCACUGAAACCAAGACACUCGCGUUCGCAAUGUCGCACGUUAACAAGUGGAUGGGCGCAAAUGCAUGUUGUAAAUCGAUGCGCCAGAGUCGUUAAAAAAAAGAUACAUCAGGGUGCAUUCUACUCAACUUUCAGUCAGGGCAUGUAAUUUACGAGCAGCAUCUAGUGUGGCUGCUCAAACAGUGAAGGAGUACUUUUGGAUAAGAUACAUAAUUCUUUGGACGAAAAUGGCAUGUAAAGCAAACACGUCUCUGUCCUUUCUCAUAAUUUCAUUCGGUCGUAUUUGAAUACAUUGGAUUAGGCACAAUUUGAUCGGAUGGGCAGAGACUGGACUAAAAUCCCUGUCAAUCCCGAGCAAUUGGGUCUAAACAAAGCGAAAACGUAACAGUGUUCCCGUGGGAAUGGAUGAAUUUGUCAUCUUGCUCUCACCAUCUAUACAAGAAUAUCUGCUCUUUUCCAGAAUCUACUUCCCCAUGACCCCAUUCUAUAACAUCUAUUGUACAUACCAGCUACAUUCAAGCAGCCUUCUCUAUGGCCCAACCUGAACUCCUCAGGAUGCCUUGGCAGUGCCAUUUGACUCAGUUGAGGAGAAACAAUGUCUCAUCCCAGUUCAGUCAUGUCGUGUUGGGAAAGAAUGGCAUGAGUACCCAGUAUUACAGUGUAGGCAAAAAAAUAGAUCACCAUGCCCGUAGAAGAUUGGGAUCUCGCAAGCACUCUUGAGGGUUUGCAUAGAAGUAGUCCUCUUCCUUGGGUUUGUCAGGAAUCACUGUCCUUCUCGAAGCUGAACCCAUCCGGUUUGCAUGGACAGACUUGAUUUGUUUAGAGAACUCAUCCCACGGCAAAGAACCGCUAUUAUACCUAUCGACUAAAUCAACAAUAAGUUUCCUGUCCAAUAAGAUUGUGUUCUUGAAACCCAUGAUCCUGCAGUGGCAAAUACGAAAAGAUGUAAAAAAUCCUCUAUAGUAGGCUACAAAGGAUCAGGUUCAAAAUGUUAAAAAUGUCCAAAUCUAAGAUGCAGGUAAUAGAGGACGGUAAAGUUAUAAAAAUGUUCUGAUCGAAUAAUUUAUUCACGAAAUAUAGCUAUAACGAGGUGGAAUAUACAUACCUGCGGUGUCCCUCGACAACUUUAGCCAUGUUACCAUCAUAUGUUGGGACAAAUAUGUCACUUUCCAGUGAAACUAAGUAAUCCAGUGCUGCCAUCUGUGAUGAAUGAUUCUGAAAAAACUUGAGAUCAGAUGGUUCCAAGAGAGUCUCCUUUCUCACCUAUACAUCAAUGAGUUUUCAUCAGCAGUGAAAGAGGGGGACAGAGAUAUGGAUAGUAAUGAUAGUUAUCAACUUCUAAUGCGCAAUAACGUCGAUGCAUAUGCACCACUUGGUCCAUACCACGUUGGGAUACUCUGAAGUAAGAGAAGACAUUCUGCGUUUUCCACCAUAUAUUUCUCCAGCCGCAAUAUAUAUUUGCAUACUUCGGUCAAUCCCCAAUGCUCUGAGGACAAGAGCAAUCUCCUCUGGCGUUAAAGGGCAAAGACCAUCUUUCCUUUUCACAUAAGAGUUAAUUACUUUCUCUUUCCACCAUGGGUAUGCAUAUCUGAGAUUAGCAAGUAAUGCAAAUGUCAUUACUGAUGAGAUGAAAUUUACCUGCCUCACACAACAAUAAUAAUCCAAAAUGCUAUUUAAAUCUAAGGCACGACAGCCAACAAAUUUACCUCAUUCUUGUGAGCUCAUCUGACUCUUCACGCGUGCAACCUUCAGUACAGCCAGAAAAGGCCAGCAUGUCCAUUUCAUAUCGUAAAUGAAGAACCAAAAAAGGGCCAUUUUUGCGGAGAAUUCUAAUCACUCGCCUGCCCAACUCUUCAAUUUGGGAUGUAAAUUUCAGUGAAGCGUAAUUAACUUGGCAGCGCAACUUCUGGAUAUCAAGGGGCAGACCAUUAUUUGCAAGCCUAGCAUCAGUUCUAUUCAGAUGGAGAACCUUGUGCUUCUGAAUCAAAGGAAGUAUCUGUACAAAGUGAAUUUAACAGUUAGCCUUUUUACCAAAAAUAACAUUGUAAGAGCAGGUAACAAAGCACGCAUCUAACUAAACAAAAAGAAAUCUGACCUGAUUAUGGUAAUAGGAGAUAUGAGACCAACUAAUAGGUGGCAUUGAGUGAAACAUUCCCAUUUCCACUCUUUGCUUCAUUCUUGGUGGCAGUUCUCUAAGUAUACGAACCUCACCUCUUAGAGAAGUAAUAAAAUGUUCAACAUCAAAAAUAUCCUGAAACUCACUAAAGGCAAAGCAAAAGGUUAUUUGCAUAACUACGUGGUAGAAAGGAACUGGGAAAAGCAAAGUUAUAUGGAAACAACAAGUGCACCUUGGGUCAUUCCAAAAUGAUGUCUUAUCCAACUCGGGAACUAUUAGAGUCACAUUCAAAUAUCUUGCAAUGGCAACCAUAUCACAUAUCUGAUUAAACAAGUAAAGAAUGUGGUGUGUUAGGUGGUAUGAAGCCAUUUCUGACAAAAUGAAGAAUUUUCAGGAUUGCUUACAGCUGCUCGCAUUUGGUUAAGUCCACCAUUGCACGAAACCAUCAAAUAACCAUUGUUCCUAUAAACUCCUGAAGGAAAAUGGAUAAGAUUAGGGAAAUCAAGAACAACUAAAGAAUAUACAAGGACAAUGUGCAUCAAGCACGGUUUGUGUAAUACUCCGUACAUUAGUUUCUAUGAAUCACAUAUUUUGAUGUAGUUGAAGUGGUGAAAUGGUAAAAAAAAAAAAACUUGAACACACACCCAAGUACGUCAUAGUGUGCAUUCAGUUCCUGUUAACAUUUGAGUAACUGAACAAAUUUUUGUAACACUUAGUCGGUGUUUGUAAUAAUUGUAGAAUUAGCUAUUUCAACAGAUAUAGAAUUGAAAUACUAAAGCAUGCCAUGUAAGACAGUCUCGUACAGCACAGAAAAUUGUCAAAUUGUGCCAUUAAUUCUUAGGACUAAAACGUAAUACAAUGUUCUCUUUCUUGAAAAUAGACAUUUGAUCAGAUUCGAAGCUUGUGGUCACCCAUGUGAAUUCCUAAAUGCACUACAACUGGUACCAGAAAGGCAAAAGCCGACUCAUAAAUAUCGUGCUUGAGCAACCAAUUGUGGGUACAUGUUCCUUUCCAUCCACAGGCAAUGAUUAACCAAUUACCGUUAGAGGAAUCAAAAGUACAGCUCAACAUUUCAUUAAAAAAAGUGUUGAAUUCCAAAACCAUGAAGAGGGAACAUGAUGAUCAGAGCCUGGAAACAGGCCAGAACGCGUAAAGCAUUUUAUGAUCAAAACCACUGAAUGUUUGCUAAUUGUGACCCCCCAAAAACGACAAUGCGAAGCAGAGCAGUAGUACUAGCACUUACUCUGCGGCGGCAACGCGGGCUUCUCCGCGACGGGCUCCGGCAUCGCGAGCCGCGCGGCGGCGGCGGCGGCCUCCGGCGCCAUCAUCCGGCACGACGGCCAACCCCUCAGGACGCGCGGGCCCCACGUCUCCCCGACGGCCGUGAGCUGGACGAGGCAGGUCCACAACAACACCGUCGUGGUGGCGCGCAGCAUCCACAGCUGCAUGCGCGACCGCGCCACCGCGGCCACCGACGGGAACCGGAGGGGCUUGUCCGCCCCGCCGCCGACGCCCGCGGCCGCCGCCUUAAGGCCCAUUGCCAUUUGUACUCGGGACCGGCGAACGCACAACGACGGAACGGCCCUAUGUAACAAGCAGCAUCUGGGGCUCGAGCACGGCAAGGACUCGAAAGAAUCGCGUGGCCUCCACUCAACGCGAGGACAGCGGCGAGCUCGGGCGGGCGCUCUGUGUGUGUAUAUAUGCGCUGCCCGCGCGUGCAAUGGGCGCGCCGAAUCGGCAGCGGGACCGGCCAGAAAGGGCACGGCGGAGGCUGGGCUGGCUGGAGCGACGGGAGUGUGCCGGCCGGUGGAUCUCGGCCGUGCUGGUGCUGCCGCGCGCAGGCCUCGGAAGGCGGGGAGGGAGAGGAGUGGGCGCCUGGGCGGGCGUGGCGUCAGGAGAGGAGGAGGAAGAGGAGCGAUUCGUGGGGGAGGCGUCAAGUUAUUUUCGGGCCCUCGUGUCGGUGUGGUUUCAGAUGCGGGCUGUGGCGCUGUUGACGUUCAGCGGACCUGUUCAAGUAACCGGCGGGAAGUGCACACGGCGGAAGGGCGGUACGGGCGUGGACGGUGGGGAGGCGAUGGGAGCGGAAGUCGAGGCGGAUGGACGGUCUCGAUGUGUUCGCCCGAGUCGGCUGGGGUGAGGGCUGUUCCCACGUGAGCGGUGCCGCUGCGGACGCCGUUCGAUCGCAGGCCCACGGCACAGACGGAACCGUCGGCUGAGAGGAAAUACGUACCUGCGGCAGAUCAUAGAUCCGGUCGAGGGAUCACGCACGAGGAAUAAUGUCCACAGAAUAAGAAUGUGCUCCGACGAACUUGCCAAGAAUCGCGUACCCGAUUUGAUUACUUCCAGUUCCUGUAUUCACAAUUGGUGCUGCCGUGCUGGGUCAAACGGCUCAGCUGAUCAAUCAGUUGUGACUUGUGAGUUGUGACGCAUGUGAGGUGUCGAGCAUUACGGGGUCUCGCACGCAGUUUGCAAAGGAUCGAGGAUAAGAAGUUUAGAACCCACAGCAUGGUGCGCCAGACGAAAUUGAUGCCACCAUGUACUGGUAAUCUGGUACUCCGUACGUAUGAUGCAUCGCAAGUCCAGAGAAAGCGACAGGGCACGAACAGGAAGCAGCCAAGAGGGGGACAGCCUCCCAGCAGAGCUGCAGGAACCCCUUGUUUUGCAUCCAAUUAUCUACUGGUAUUUGAACACUCACGAGUUGUCCGGAAGAAAGGACACGGGGCCGCAGAGCAGCUGACAGACGACACUGUGGCUCGAGAUCGAUUGGACUCGCUCGACCAUUUCUAAACUCAAUGGCACGUAAACAAUCGAGGAUGACUGCAAGUCUGCAACGCAAUUUCACAGUACCUGACUGCUUGUGCUGCUGCUUCUUUUUUGUUUGUUCAGGGAAAUACACGUGCUUGUUAAUUUUAUUUUAUUUUAACGGUGAUUCAUUUUUUUAGAGGAAUGUUGAUUCAUUUUUUCUAAGUGAACGCUGAAAUAUUUACCCCACAAGCUCUGUGUGUUUCUUCUUCUUCUUUUUGAGAAAAUCGGGAAACCCAACAAGCGUGUUUUUUUUUUUUUAGAAUCACCCAACAAGCGUGUGUGAUCUUUGGUCCGAGGAAUCCGACCGUGGGCCGUCAUAUGCGCGAAGGACGGUCCGUGGGCUGCCUUUUGAAUACUCGGCCCAUGUAUUAUUCGCGUUCGACACUGGCGCGGCGGCGAGUGCGCGGAAUAAUCCCACCUCGGGCAGGCACCGAGGUGCGCGGGCAUGGGAAGUGUUGAAAUAGGGGUGCCAUGCGAAGGUUGCGACUCAAAAAGGGUCGGUUGGCUAUGUAUGCCACGUCCAUCCUUGGCUGAUGGGUGCUGUAUGGCUAUCAAGACAUAUGGCCGACAUAAUUUGUGGGAAUCAAUAGGGUUGGCUCGUCAUGGCCGACCCUCCAUUCAUCAAUACCUUAUUUUUUCUUCUGUAUCCAUUAUAAAUGAUUAAUCCAUUAUAAUUGUGAAUUAAUUUUUAUUUAAAUAUUUCUCGAAGAGGAGCGCUGUUUUAGAGUUCAGCGGCAUGAUUAUCGGUGACCUGAAUCUAGUGGAGUGCUUCAAAAUCUUUACAUAAGCUAUUCGCCUGGUUUCUCAUCCACCCGACCCGCAACCCUACCGGCCGCAAAACGGAUUAAGACCAUGUCGUCAUGCCGCCACCAAUCUGAUGGGGUCAUUGUCGCUCCAAUCUCCUUGUCAUAGAAGCAAAUUCAGAAAAAAGUUCGUUGCGAUUUGGAAGCAAAUUCUACUGUCUAUCGAACAAAAUUCUUAAUCUUUGUAAGCACAUUUUACUGCAUGGAACCACGAAAAAUUUAGGUGCAAAGGAACAUUAAGCUGCACAUUUUUUUGAGUUUUUAUUUUUUGACCACUAUAUAGACCAACCAUAAGUAAUUUGCGUGCCACAAAAAUUAUGCCAUUGAAUUAUUAUUGGAAAAAGUAAUUUAUUGUCAAAAUUAAAUUUCAAAAUACAUGCACAUCCAUUAUAAGGAACGGAUGGAAUACUUAUGAAGACACGCAAUAAAUACAUAUGAUUUUUAAGCUGCUAGUCUAGGUAUUUAAAACGAUCGUCAGUCAAAGGUUAGCCAAAGGUCCAAUGGACCAAGGCGGCAUUUUUCCAACUGGAGGGAGAUCAUGACAGCGAACCGAGAGUAUCGCCCUCGUGUGGAAUAAAAACAGACUUUUAUUUCACAUGGGAAGUCAAUCUGGUUUCAAUUUAGCUCACCAAACUCUCAAGAAUAACAGCACAGGCAGAACAGAGAACAGCCCUAGAAAACAGAAGAAGAAAAAUGCGAGAGCAGGAAUACCACUUUUCUAGACUUCCGUAGAAUGAAAAAUCACAAUAAGAAGAAUAACAUUGCUUCAUCCGGAGACCACAAAGGUUUAAACAUCUAAUGUACAGUGGCAGCUGGAAUUCGGUAGCCAUGCACUAGUGCCUUCGUCGUCAUAACCGCCAUCUGUGUAGAGACGGUAAAGUAUCGCAUGGGAUCAAAGCUACUCCUUCGCAGUCUCUGAAUUGCCUGUUGCUGACUUCUUCUCGUCUUCAUCGCUCUCUAAACCCUGAAAAGGCAAGAACCGUGUGCUGUUAGCAUGAAACAAGCAGCUGCGAAGGAAAGCAACGACGUAUUAUAAUGUCUUAAGCACACCAUCCUUGCAAGUGCUACACCACAACAUAAGAGACAGCUAUGUAGCCUAGUGGUAGAGCACUAAGUUUCUAUCCGCUAAUAGAUUCAACUACCACUGCUAAAAGUCAAAGAUAUGGGUACGCGUGUACCAACUUGACAUGCUUGCUUUUCUUGUACACCACAACAUAAGAAGCAAUGCGUGCAGAUUACAGAAUGGUAUCACAAUGACACCUCAUAGUGGUAGCAUUGGAAUGAGGAUUUCCAAAUGUACAAUGUCUUAAUUGUCCAACGCUGUAACCACAAAACAUAAAAUUUACAUUCUACUAUAUGUAUGAUUGUAUGGAACACUAGAACACAUAACAUCUUAUUUACUGUGGCCAACAAAUCUAUUUUAAGGAAGCAAGUGUACUUACUGAGGCACCAUCUAUCUUAUCGAAGUCAUCAUCUAGCCCUUCAUCGCCACCAUCUGCAAGUAAUGCAAAAGAAAAGGUCAUAUACAAGAAUUGCAGGAGCAUGUAGCAACUAAUGAGAAGGAUCAGGUGCAGGAAAGCAAAUAGCGUACCAGGGCCCUCAUCAUCACUGCCCAGAUCUCCAAGAAGAAAAACAUCCAGAUCAUGCUCUCGAUUUGAUGAAGUGGAUGUCUUGCUUUGCACCUUCGUCUCUGUCUGUUCUGAAGUUGUAGCCUGUGAGGUCUGUGAUACUUCCUGCUGGGAAAUCCUUUUUUCCUCCUCGGCUUUCACUUUCAGCUCCUCAAAAUACUUGGUCUCGUAACUAUUUGGGUUACAUUAAAAUCAGUAAGCUAUUGAGUAUCAAAAUUGGUGCCCGAGCAAAUUAUACUGAAACUAAUGGUAGAACAUAUGCAGCAUCAUAGCACUUGAACACCAACAAUUUAGUUCAAAAACUAGAAAAAUAUUUAGCAUGGUAGCUAAUGAUUUCAUAUUAAGUACUCCCUCCGUUCCAUAUUAAGUGUCUCAAAUUUGUCCAAGUAUGGAUGUAUCUAUGCCUAGAAAGCGUCUAGAUACAUGUAAUAUUUUGACACUUAAUUGGGACGGAUGGAGUAUUACAUUAGAGGCUACAACAUCUAUCCUCGACCCUGGCACCUACCAUGAAGACAUAUGCAGACCAGUGAACUAGUGAAGUAUGUGACUGAGUGCGAAAUAAUUAUGAGAACCAAUCCUACUACUUCUCAUCCCACGAUUUCCACAAUUGAAGAAAAAAGCACAGGGUGUAUAGAUCAAAUUAUUGGACCAGUGCUGGAUGUCAAUUUUCCCACAGGGAAGUUGCCUUAAAUUUAGAACGCUUUGGUAGUCAAGAGUCGAGACACUGCUGGUAAGCAAAUUAAGGUCACUUGUGAGGUACAACAAUUAUGGGGAAAUAGUCGAGUUAGAGUUGUAGCUCUGGGUGAUACAGACGGGUUGAUGAGAGGAAUGGAAUGCUCGGAACAUAAUUCUGUUACAAGAGCUACAAUGGGUUAUCACUGCAAGUGUUUGAAUAGAAAGCGAUAAAUCUUUACAAAACAACGGUUCUUGACUAGAGUAGUCAGAAUACAUUCUUGGAUUCCUUCAACAAGUAUGGCAUCAACGAUAAAUGACAAACCACCCAAGUUCUAGAAAUGAAAAGAUUGCCCUAAUCGGCCAAUCCCAAUAUGAAGAUACUACGGGUAGAAUUGGACACAACAAACUUUACAAAAAUUUGACUACAAUAUAUCAUUAUGGUCUCAUACUCAUUUUGUGUAUUUUGAACAAAGAACUAAUCCCAAGUAUCUAACAAUCUACAACAUUCAUAGCGUGUUUAGGUGUAACAUGUUCUUCCCUAAAAACAUUAAAAAUCAGAUAAUCAGUGGCAUCCAUUCUGUUACACAAACUUAUGAGGCAGAGGUUGGAUAAGUGUUGACCAAUGACAACAAAAAUGUAUUAGGAUUACAUAGCAUGACCUAACAUGAAGGAAGAAGAGUAGAAGACUUACAGGGCUAUGUAGUUGUUUACUAGCAAAAAAUAAAUUCGCCAGAAUUUUCGCUCUUUCAUGUAUCGUGGGCACAGCUCAUAUCUGAACUUUGAAAUUUCCUGCAAAUAUGAUAGCACACUCAAUACAACUUUAACAAAAUACAAAUUGGGCUAGCAAUGAGGCGGGGUUACAAAAUUCUGUUCGCUUUAACUAGGAGUGCUUUCUUGAUAAAAAAUCAGCACAUGGAAAUAUGACUAUUAACUCAAUUUGAACAAGCAUAGUUUUAUCGCAUAUUACUAUAGAACCAUGCUUCUUAAGAUGUUUCAAUUCCCAUCAACUUCUAGUUAAUCCAAAAUUGGCAUAUCAAUGUCGGAACUCACACUUAAGUUAACACUGCGUCUAAAACAAUCAUAGCUGAAAUCUAAGUCGUUUAUGUUGUGACAAAUGGUCCAAAAUAUGCAUUUUAGUUUUCAGCACACUAGUGUCCAAUCAUUUUGUCCUUUGAUACAUAUCUAGAUAUGCCAAUUUUAUGACCUAUCCUUUUUGGCAACUUUAGGCUGUUAAUACAUCCACCUAUUUUUCCUGAACUUUGGGCUCUUGAAACAUAUCAAGAUUACAUUCUCAAACAUAAAUACUCCCUCCAGUCCUAAAUUCUUGUCUCAAAUUUGUCCAAAUAUGGAUGUAUCUAUUCUUAAAAAGCGUCCGGAUACAUGUAAUAUUUCGACAACAAUUUAGGAUCGGAGGGAGUACUAUAUUAGACAUUUCAGGUAUCGAUAAUUCAGCAAUUUACUCAGCAUUCAGUUAGCUCUAACCAUCACAGUAUAAAUACAUCGAUCUAUUGCCCAAUUGUCAGUUGAAACUAAAAACAUAGCUCUAAAUCCUUUCCUGACCUGAAUAUACACUUCUAAUCAGAUAUGCAAGGCAAACAAAACUGUGCAAACAGUGCAUCUGUUCAGAUGCGCAUUCACAACCACUCCAUCUAUCGAGCCACAGAACCCCAAUCCCCCACAGAUAGCGUCAAUCUCUCAAUAAAUGAUUAAUGGAGGCAAAACCUUGACGGCCGAGAGGACGAGAGUGGCGUGCCUGGCCUGCCAUUCGUUCAGAUCCUGACGCACAUUCGACACCGUGGGCACAUCCGACAUCUCCGGCUCUUCUGCGUAACCAAAAUCCUAUGAAACAAACACAGCGGCUCGAAUCCCCUAAACCCAACCGUAAGUAAACCUUACCUUGCAAGGGGAAGUCGCGGAAGGUGCUUAUGGUCAUGCCCUUGACGAACUCGCGGAGGUCUUCGGUGAUGCCGUAGCGCUCGAGCUCGGCGGCGUCGGGCUCCGACUCGGCCGCGGAGGGGAUGGGCGGGAUCGAGGGAAUUGGUGGGAUGGAGGGGACGGGGAUGUCCGAUGCGAGGUGCAUGAUCUGGCCGGCGAGGAGGUCGGCCUGCUUCGUUGCCUCCGCGGCGAUCUCGCGAGACUUGGUGGCGGUCUCCGAGAAGAUCUCCUUGGACUUCUUCGCCGUCUCCGACACCAGCACCGACGACCGCUUGGCCGCCUCCAAGGACAGCUCCUGCGACCGCUUGGCCGCCUCGCCGGCGAAGGACCGAGCCCUCUCCCAGAGAUCCAUCGCGCUUGGAAAGUUCUAGAAGGUUCGGAGUCGUCUUACCGCCGGUCCCUCGUCGCCUUCGCUGACGUCGGUGCGGGACGGGAGUGUUUCAGCGUUGUUUGCGGUAUUGGUUUUAUUUUCUUGAGUAAUGGGAGGAUAUGGUGUUUUUACGAAUUUGACCUUGUUUGUUGUGAUAAUUGUUGGCAGUAUUUUCCUCUCAGUGACAUGCCGUUCUGGAAAAUACUUGGAUACUCUGUCUGUUCAUCGUGGAAAUCUAUGGUGAAAAAAGAACUACUCCACUCAAAUAUUCCUUCUGGCUGUUUCGAAUAUUGAAAUACUUCCUCCGUUUCUAAAUACUUAAUAGAACUCUCAAUAUUUUUAUCAAUGUAUACGGUUAUUACUCGAAAAAAAUGUUUAAUAAAUAUUUCGAAAAAAUCUUUAUGACAGAUUAAUCAUAUUUUUCACAAUACGAUAUGAAUACAAUUUUACCAUAUCAGCAAUCAAAGUUCACCUUUAUGUUGGCCAUCCACGGAAAACUCUCUCAAGGAAUAAGUCAAUCACAAAUCCCAAGAUUUUUUUAAAAAAACUACGCAGAUGCUUAGAACUCAUGUGUUUCUGUCAAGUUUCUUUACACUAGCUAGCCACGAGCACGCCCCAAAAAGCUUGCACCGAAGAAACGUAUCACGAUAUCAGUUUGUAUACAUGCAAUGGAGAGACUCGGUGUAUUCAAGUUCAAGGGUUGGAAGUGGAUUUUGGGAACAAAGAGGGGUGGUCGUGCUGAACUGCUGAUACGGGGAAAACGAAACGAGUUUGACGUGGAUGGGCCUUGUUUCUCCUUCUUCUGGGAGAUUUUUAUUUUCUUAUUUUUCUGAGGGGGGCUUCUUCUGAGAGAUUGUUAGAUUUCCUUUUCAUACUGAUGGAGCCGUCACGUUGCCGUGCAGAUUCCGGUCCUGAUCCACUGGAGCUGACCGCGACAAGACCACGAAACAGAAUUACAGAAGCAGGCCCGCGCACCACGGAAGUUGAGCAGCACUGCAGCAGCGUCAACCCGGGGCUAUACCUGUAGAUUUCUUUUCUUUGCGUCGGAGCAGGGCCCCCAGCUAAGUCAAGGGUCCAACAAGGCCAGGCCAGUACUUGAUCGCAAGGGAUAUGUGUGGGCUGGAGCCUGGAAGGAUACUUGUUGUAGUUGUAGUUGGGCCUUCAUGCUAGGCCGGAAGUUAAAUCGGAGUGUUGGGCUGAGAUGUUUUAUAGUUGGGCCGAACUCGGAAAAACCCUGAGUUGUUUGCUCCCCUCGCAGUUCUUUUAUUUUUGUUCUUCUCCCCUCGCAGUUCAACCUUUUGUACCUCGGAACUUCUACCUCCUAGUUCAUCCUAUUCUAACUGUGGGUCAGUGGGUAGCAUCUAUCAUGUCAGAUUCCUUUAGGACGCAGAAGAGAUCUAAAGGGAAUUAAUAUCGCUGAAAACAGUUUAAUCUUCGUAGGAUGUCACAAAUAAUGUUUACCGUGUUACUGUUUGAUGUAGUAAGCUUUGGUUUUCGAACAAGAAAUUAAACAGUUUGCGUUGGGAAAUGAUUAGUUAAGGUGGCACUGAUCAAUUACUGUUGGCGCAAAGUGAUUCAUAUAUUUCCUGCAUGUGACUGCGAUCCACUGUAGACUGAAAAUAAACAAGUCCAGUGAAAUGGUUAAUUCAAUUUGUUACAAAGAUCCGUCAAGAGCCAAUGAGCUGCAUACGACCGAUGUAAUCAUUUAAGUAAGUAAUGAGCAUCAAGCCGACGAGCCGGCUUAAGGUCGAUCAGCCAGAGAAUUCCCCGGAAGAUAAGGUUGGCAGUGAGUCACUGAUAUUGUCUCCAUGCCCACAGAAACUUCCAUUGCCUCCCCCGCGAAUUCCGGUUCAGGGAGGCAGGGGGAAUCAAACAAUAGCGCCAGGCAAAACGAGAAGUCGAGCACAAAGUGCCGUGCUCGAGCCUGUUUAUGCACUAAGCGAAACCGUGCGUUCCAUCGAUCACAGGAUUCGUAUCUUAGCAUUUGUUCUCGCCGAUAAGUCCUGGCCUAGCUAGCUAAUGUAUGUCCUCACUCACGUCUACUCGCAGGUCAGGUCAGGUGGGCAUGUUCUGUGACGCGCACUGUUUGCUUCAGAGACGACACAACAUGCAUGGGCAGGAUCCGGAGGAUUUACUCUAGGCUUAGGCUUACGAAGAAGCAGCACCUAAUGCUGAUUAGGGUCGCAAGUAGCCUCCAAGCAGGCAAGCACCGGUCAUUUUGGCAUCUGCCUGUCUUUAUUCCUGGCUUGCACAUCAUUGACGCUAUAUCUCACGGUCCGUAUAUGGUCUAUACACUGGAGACGGGCAGGGUAAACAAAAUCCCUUGGCACUAGGGAUAUGCUUGGAGCUGCAAGGUUCAGUUGGCAAUCAAAUCUCGAGGUCACUAGCUAAGCUAAGCCACUGCCCUGCGGCUAAGGGCGAACUUAUAGCUCUGACGAGGGGCACCAAGCAUGCAUUAUAUAUCUUCUGAAAUCUAACCCGUGCAUGCCUAACUUCUUUGCGGAUUCGGACGGGCGUGAGCUCAGACUUAUAUACUAGUGGUCCGAUCUUUUUAUCUGGAGUGGUUCAGAAGAAGUCAAAACGCUCGCAUGAUUCGGCCCGUAAACCCGCUGUUUUCGGCUCAUCCAGACCAGACGAGCACAUCCCCAAAGUCGUUUGUUUUUAUUCCAGACAAGAAUCGAAACUUCGAUCUAGCAUCGAUCCAAUCGAUUGGUUGGACUUGGAGGCGAUAUAAUGCGGUCGACGCGACGACCUUGCACGUACGUACGGACGGCAUGGCAUGAACGUACGCUCUGGGAGGACCAUAACUCCAUAAGUGCACCUCUCACUUUCAGGAUUUCCCAAGAGAGGCAAAUAAUCAGGUCACGACAAGAGAGAGGAGAGGACCAAUAUGCAAUGAUGAAUCGCGCCAUUGAACUCCAAAAGUUCUCUUCUCGGUCGCCCGGCCUUAUCUCUCCCCGGCCAUGACCAUCUCGAUCUUCUGAUAGGACCACCCACAGCGUGCGUGCUUGUGUCCCGUCCUCGUCGUCCGGAUACCAACUACUGGUGGCGCGCGAUGCAUAUAUAUCACCUGCACAAUAUUAUUAUAUAUAUGAGCAAAUUUCACAAAAUCACGUUUUUUGUGGCAGUCGUCUCACGCAACCAUAGUGUUUUUUUUACGAAACAGCCGCAGCGAGCUAUUUAUUGUCAAUAGAUGGUUGAGAGAAUUAACACCGGGAGAAAAAUACACAGGGAAAUACAAAAGGAGAACGAGCAAAAAGGGAGGGUGUUUAGAUUACAGGAGGCCAAGAACUGAUGAAAAUCAUGGGACAUCAUCUGAUCCGGAUACCAGCUCACCAAGACCGGCACCAGCCUGGGUCCAAAGGGCAGCCUCCUCCAUAAUGAGGGUACAUACAGUUGAAGGCCGAAGAAGUUUGUGCUGGAAAAUUCACCGUUUUCGCUCCUUCCAAAUUUCCCACAUGGUAAGCAGAAUGAAUGACGCCGUAGCCUUAGCACGCGGCUUGCCCAACACAUGCGCAUAGGAGGAGCGCUCAGUCCAGCAAGACUUGAUCGAAGAUACGUCCAAGGACAGCUAGUCUCAAAAACCCCAAUCUCGAUAAUUAAGAUGGUUGAUAGAGUUUCCGACGACCCGGGGCCGCAACUUAGAUGCCGCAUCAUCCUUUCCAACCCGUUUUCGAUGCCACAUCAGCAUCAAAAUCAACAAAGCUCUUGCAGAGAAAGGUAGAAUUGCAGAGUCACCAAACAAGAGCUUUGUUGAUUCUGUGAAAUUCUGUGAAAUUUACUCAUAUCAUAUCGAUCCGGCCGUGGGCUCGAUCUGGCGGGAACGGAAGAAUUAAACGAGAGCUAGCGCGCUGAAUGUGUCCAACAUGGCGACGAGAGAUCGAUAGAAGCAACCGAUUCGUGGUGCCUUGGGGAACCAAGCAUUUAGACGAGCCGGCAAUAGAAGUUUGUUAGGCACGACAGCUCCGGCAGCACAUGGGCACACGCACGCACGCAAGCAAGCAUCACAGUUGCGGGUUACUCCGUACAUUAGAGCCUGCGUAUAUACGCCGAAGCACGAAUACAUCACCAACCUUAAGCGCGUCUGUAAUCUGUACCUGGUAAGAUGCAUAUCGGGGAGACUGAGGGAUGAGAUAAUUGAGAGGUUUCUGCUGUGCGCCGUCCGUACGUGGCGUCGCUCACAGGGCGAUUCAUGUCGACUUCCGGGAUCUACGAAAGCAACGGGCGAGGAUCGAUCCCUUCUGUGCGCCCUACCGCGCUGUCUGUUCAGUUUCCUGUCAUGCUGUCUUGCCUCGCCUCUUGGCUGAAAUUCACCGUUUCUAGGUGGGUGAGCGGUGCCGUCAGUAUAGCUUCUGAUCUCCUCGUGACGUGAUAUGUGCAUCCCAGACCCUAAAUCUCAACAGUUUCAACCAGGUCGGCACGGCAUGCAUCAGACGAAGAACCACGACUCGGUCUUCUCUUCUCUAGGCUCUAGCUUGAUUAAUUAAUUGGGCCUCUCUACUGUGCUGAGCACAGUAGUUUGAUAAGUGUUCAACUCGAUAUCGAUUGGCCAUCGACGACCGACCGAUCGUACGUACACGAAUUCAUGCAUCACCACCGGUCACAGAUUCACCUAACAGUUAUUAAGCCUAGUGCUAGAGACAGGAACGUUUGCUUAAGAAGUAGUACUGCUCGAUCGAUCUAGCACUCACGAUGGAUACGUAUCGGUCGACAAGCACUGCCGGGUGUACGAUGACUGUACUGCGUAGAGCUCUUUGACUUAACAAAUCAACAAGCGGCAGUACAGCGAUGGGUCCUCUGUGGAACCAGUUUGGAUCGAGCUCAGUCAUCUUUCUUCUUAGUGAAGAAUCGCUGUACCGGUCGUUUGUACAUAUGCUCCGUCAGUGUAAUUAAAAUGAACUAAGCUCUAAUUCUCAAUUCAUUAGUCAGAGCUGAGGUGGAUUGUGGAAGUACGUAUACGCCACCGAUGCAUGACGGCAGACCAUAUAACCCGACACGUUCCAAGCAGAUUCAUGCAUGCUCCUUGCGCUAGGCGGACCAGUGACAGUGAGAAACUGAGAAUCGACGAAAUCGACCAUUCUUAAGAGUAUAUAUAUAUUGCGGUUUAGAUUGCAGUUUAGACGAGGUAAAGUGGCAUUCGGCUGCAUCCAGGUGUUGUCGUUUGUGCACGUAACGCAUCAGAGUGACCCACACAAAGUUCGCGGUUUCGAUAGACUACGGGUGAUCGUUGCAACUGAAUUCUGCAAUUUAUCGGCGAUCGAACAGAAUAGGUUUUUUUUUAACGGUUUUGUUAUUUCUUAGAUGACUAAGAAAUAAUAAUUUUUUAGUCGAUGAUAACAAACUUUUGAUUCAAUCAUCGAGAUUCGUGUAAGAUUAAUGUAACUCUGACGGAUAAAAAAAAUCAUUAAAUGGUUACGAUUGUAAACUGAAAAAUAACUAUUUUUUAGAGACCGUAAAAUAUACGCUCCCUUUUCAAAAACGGAGGGAACAGACAAGAGUAAAAUCACCAUUUGUAAACGGUAUUGAUCGAACCACCAUGUGACCAUGGUAAACAGUCUUAGGAGCAUAUCUUAACACGAUCCGUGGGACAUAAUUUGUCAGAUCACUGUGAUAAUUGCUUCCAUGUCAGUUUGCUGCACCGCCCGGCCAGCACUGACGUACGUGCGCGCACCUGCUCAAAAUUGAAAUGUCCGGACUGACAACAAAAGGCCAAGGCACCGGAUGCCGGGUGUCCGAUGUAGCUGAACCGAUCUCUCUUCGUGCACACGACACACGCGCCGAUAUGCGCAGUGUUGAUACUCUAAAAAAAAUAUGCGCAGUGUUUUGACCGUAUGACCGUGUCCUGUCAUGGGGGAACGUACGUCAGGUCGGCCAGCGUCGGUGCGUGGGAGUACGGGCGAGAGCCAAUGGACGGCAUGGUGUACGGCAAAGCUGCUCCGAGCGAGCCUAGGUUGCGGGACAAAACAGUGCACCGCAGCGUGGCGCAAGCACGUCCGUGCGCAGUACGCGGGCUGCACGGCGCGCACGGCGAGAGCGGCCGUGUGCCGUGGCCGGCAAGAGGGCCCCCGGCCGCUCGGGCUUAGCUUGUUUCGUUACGGCCAGAAAUACGCAUAUACGUGGGUAUGAUAUAUGAUACUACUUGUUUCUGCUAACAUGCCAAAUGUACAGUGUCAUGUAUUCUCUCCUCCAAUCCUCGUGCACCUAAAACGGGCAUGCAUGCGAGCCCCGCACGGAUGAGCGAGACGACGUGGGUAGUAGGGCAGGGCAGGCGGGAGAAAGCGACCGCGGCUUGAAGGGGCGACGCGACAGCCGGGACGUACUGUAUACCCAGUGGAUCCCCACUCUCCCUCCGGCCACAUCGCGCCGUGCCUAAUCAGCAGCGACGUGUACGUACACGUUGAUGCACCAAUCAGAACACAAAUCAAACACGCGCAGGCCCGGAUCGAGAAAUGUUUCUCGCCACGAGCACGACGGGUUUCCGCCUGACUCGACGUACGUAGCUGCAGCCACGUGCGUGCGUGCGUACUGAUCAUCCAACAAGAACCAGGCAAGGUAAUAAUAACGCCACACGUGCGGGGUAUGCUGAUAUAUAACGCGCGGGGCACGACGUGCCGGACGCAACAACUUUACCUGACCGAACGGGCAACAUACAGCACGGGUCGCUAAUUGCCAUGGGUACGUACGUACACGUACGCAUGAUAGGAGUGCUUGAACGUGACGCCGACGUCCGCGGCUCGAUCGGGCCGGGCGACCGGCCGGGAGGCGUCCACAGUUCGCCCAAUUAAUUUCAGUGUGUCAUGGACUCUACGACACGGUCGACGUCUCGUCUCCAUUCCGGCCCUGCUGGUGAUCGAUAUGCGCCUGUGCCCUCUGGAGUCCAUGUCGAUCCCCCACAGGCCCAACCUAGCUAGUUGUGGGAAUGAGUUUUUGCCCGCAGGCCAUGUCUUGGCCGCGCGCUAGCUAGCUAGCUAGCUUCUCCUAACUUAGCUUGCUGUGCCAAGACGGUACAACUAACAGUCUAUGGACACGACACGUUAACAUACUCCGUGUAUAUAUGUUUGUUCCAUGCCUUGCCGUACCAUGUAGCGUAACUAGCAAAGGACGAGCUCAUCAGCGCCUUGAAAAGUCCAAUGACGUAUCUCUAAACCAUAGGAACGAGUGUGAAGAUUACCCAAAAUUAAGCGGGGUGCAACUUAACUAUCUCUUGAAUCUGGAAGAUGUGCACAUAUACCGACUACGUACAGAUUAUGCAAUUGCAAUAGGACCGUGUGGCUUGUGCAAUAAUUAAUCUUCUCCCGGGAGAUCACAUAAGUUAGUUAGGAAUGUUUGCCACGAUACUGUGACAAUCGACAUGUUGCGUUCCAGAAAUAGAAGCCAAAGUGGUUGGUUGUAUAUGACCACGUUGAAUGAAAGCCAAAAAUGUCAUCCCAGAUCAAGAGGCGCAGGUUCAUCCACGGUGCUCCCACUUGCCCUGCCUCUUCCGGGCAACACAUCUUAAUAAGUCGCUGCAACUCUUGUGGCCUUGCCCUCCAGCACCUCUAAGUAAAAGAUAGUAGGCUCUAGUGCAUUGUUGGUUCGGACCUAAAUUCAGCUCGCCAUGCAUAUAUAACUGUACCUGGAAACGGAGGUGCCCGUGUGUGUCUCCUUUUUUGAAAAGUUAAUAUGUGGGGAUUGUUUUAACUCAUGAUAUCCGUCAUGCUCUUCAUUUUUCUCACAUGUUAAACCAUUUCGAAAUUUUGACAAAACUUGCAAGGCAUGACACAAAUAAAAUCGAUAAUAGUAGUUUAGACAGGUUAGUGUGCCCUAUAACAUGCACGAUACAUACCAUCUAUGCGAUAAUAGUUUAGCCAUAUAUACCAAACGAAUUUGUCCGCCUCUCCCGUAUCCGAUGUCUUCUCCUUUUUCUGAAAUUACCAUCUAUGCGCUUUUUCUGCCUCCUCUUGCCUCGUUGAAAUGCCAUCCUAAAACCUAACCGACGUCCACCAUCGACACCGACAUCAUCGCCUCGUUGGCAUGCUGAUCUAUAUGUUCAUAUAAGCUUGUUAUGUGCCCACGAGUCCCCAGGGGUAACAGUCAGCACCUGUCGUAUCUGGCAAGCUCCUUCUUCACUAUUCCUUUUGCGCUGCUCCUCCUCCGCCACCAUUUGACGACGCUUGGACAAUUCGCUAAUAUAAACACAUAAUGACUGUCCAUUUGAAUGGAUGAUACACCUGCUACGGUGUGCCGUAGCAGAAAAAAAUGAUUGUCUAUUUGAAUUUGCAAAUAUAAAUAAUAAAAACACGAAACAAAUUUGGAUGCAAGAAGCCCAAAACACGUUGCCGAUCGAGCAGAAUGAUCUAAGCAAACAUCCUAAGGUAUGGUUGCACUCAUGGGCCCAUGAGGUUUCUAUAAGCGAGUACACUUGGAGGUACACGCACACGCAUUUAGCGGUGAACAGUUGGUGAGAAGGGGCAUUUUCGUCAAUCUAGCAGGGCUAGGGGUAGUUCCGUAACUUAAGGUUUCGGCCGGGCCAACGACACGGCCAGCCGCCAGACGUCGAUGGAGGUGCAGAUAUUUACCCGCAAUCCUUGUGUGAUCAGAGGCGAAGCUCAGCGGAUGGAGCUCUUGCCGCUCCCAGCUCGUCCAGACGCAGCACACCACAAACAAAGCCCACAAAUGAACGAGCACAACGUACAGGCGCUCGAUCUCCCCUAGAACGUUCUAGUCUAAACACCACGCAGCAGCCCCCCACUCAUGCAGGACUUCCAGUCCAUCCCGGGCCUCGCCGGGCGUCUGUUCGGCGGCGCGGCGGCGGCGGCGGACAUCCGGCGCGCGCAGGGCGCGGCGUCGUCUCGGUGCGGCGGCGGGUUCUCGCAGGAGGUGGUCAAGUGCCCGCGGUGCGAGUCCACCAACACCAAGUUCUGCUACUACAACAACUACAACCUCUCCCAGCCGCGCCACUUCUGCAAGAGCUGCCGCCGCUACUGGACCAAGGGCGGCGUCCUCCGCAACGUCCCCGUUGGCGGCGGCUGCCGCAAGUCCAAGCGCAGCUCCUCUUCCGCCACGCCGGCCUCGCCCACUGACGCCAACAACGCCAACUCCAAGACCCAGCGCCGUGCUUCGUCGUCCUCCCGGGACUCCAACAGCAACAGCGGCAGCACGAGCCCCACGGCCACACCGUCGUCCAACACCACGCCAAUCACUUUCGCGAAUCCCUUCGCGGGAGACGUGCCACCCCCGGCGCCGAUAUUCGCGGACCAGGCCGCGGCGCUCGCGUCCCUCUUCGCGCCCCCGCCGCCGCCGCCUCUCCCGGUGUUCAACUUCUCGCCGCAGCCCAAGACGGAGGGUUCUGCAAUCAGUUCCGUGGCCGUGCUGCUCGCGGCUGCAGAACCGGAGGCGCCUACCUCGGUCUCUGAGUCGGCUGCCGCCGCCGCUGACAUGGCGCCGUUCAUGUCCCUGGACAGCACGGGCAUCUUCGAGCUCGGCGACGACGCGUCGGCGGCCUCGUACUGGAACGCCGGGAGCUGCUGCUGGGGAACGGACGUCCAGGACCCGUCGGUCUAUCUACCCUAGCUUUGUUUUUUAGUUACUCAUCCAUCGCGAUCGCUUCAAUUAAGCUGUGGUUAAUUGUGCUCUUAAUGACGGCCAACAGCUGGUAAGUACAUCGAUCUACUACGUACAUGCUCAUGCUGUGCUGUUUUGCUGCCUCUGUACCUUAUUUUCUUGACUUUCUGUGGCGGCACCUGCACCUGCACAGCACAGGUUGUGAAACAAAGCUAACCAUCGUGUCGCUACAACUGAAUCACAUCACCACUCUUGUUUAUCUCUGAAUUUCCAAAUCUUCCUCGGUUCCUUGGAUGUCUUUAACCAGGAAUUUGUUGGAUGAAGUCUUCCAUCCAUGCACAGUACUGUAUUUCUAAGUUGCAUCGAAAACAUUUAUUUCGAGGUCGAUAAAGUUUGCACAGGAAUUUGUGUUCAAGUUUUAACCACGCGUGAAAACAUUUCUAAAUUUAAAGUUGCCCACGGGUUUCAGAGUACGCAGCUACUCGAUUUCUGUUAGAUAAAGACUGAGGCGAUCAAAAUUGUUGACCUAACACUCUCGAUCUUUUGACGACAUUGGAACGGUCAAAGCUAGAGAGAGAUGAUUAAGCUUGUUUCCCCCCCCCCCCCCCCCCUGAAGACCAUGAACUGAUUAAACAAGCCAUUUCAGUUGAGUGGUUGAUUUGUUAAGAUUAGGUGCUCUCGGCCGUACGUACAAUACGUACGCGCCUUUCGCUCUCCGGGGAGUUUGUGUUGAUGGAGACGGCACCGGGCAAGCUGGCGCUUACGUACAGUGCAUCUCUGUACGUCCGCUAGGGCGGCCGGCCCCAGCCUCGAUCGGCAUGGCGCGACAUCCCUCCGUGCUUGGCUAAAUCGCGUGCGCCCUCACGCCAACUCCACUUCCUUCCCCGUGCCUAUGUCACGUACCACAACGAGCCUCCUACCGAACUGGACCCGAGAGGCAGGCAGGCAGGCACGAGGGACCGCAGGCCGAUCCGGUGUGGCUUGGGCGCGCACAGCCAAUCUGUCAGUGGGGUCAACGUCGCGUUGACCGUCCCUGUUGCCCUCUGCCGCAGCGCACCCAUAAUUUGCCGGUCGGCCCACUCCCGGACCGUCGGAUCGGAGUUGUGUGGUUCCGAUCCGUCCGAGAAAAAUCGUCUCUGCCGACUGUCGUUGAAGGCCCGUGCGUAACAUCAGAACCAGUGCAACCACACACUAAUGCGUCGUCAGACGACGUCGGUUGCUUGAAUUUUUGAGAUGGCACCAGUUCGAAGGUGCUCGACACGGUCUGUCGAGCCUCCAGUUCGCGGUCAUAUGUUUAAAUUUUCCGAUCGAGAAUUAAUCAUGGCAGUGAAGAUUUUCCAUCAAGUCUACGAAGUUGACGGGAAACUGAAACCAGCAAAGCAUGAUAGCCGUCCGUCCAGGGAAGAAAGAAGAACAGGAUCCUACCUAAGGAUCUACGCAUGUCAUUCUUGGUAGUACAAGAUGCAUGCAUCGGCCUACCGAACGCACGACCGUCGCCCAUGCCCUGCCCAUCAUAUAUACGGAGUAGCUUGCAUCAGAGGUGAACCGAUUAUCUGUCAGACGUAUAUAUACCUGCCUAUAUCUGCUCUCGUGUAUAUAGUUGUUGUAAACGAAUAACCAAAACAAACACGACAAGCAGAUAUAAUAAUAUAUAUACGAGCCAAAUUUAUUUCGGCCCUGGAGUGCUGCCAGCUAGCAAGUGAGCCAUGAUUGCUUCUGGCUAAAGAAAUUCCUCCGCAGCGGAGGUCGAGUUUAUCGAUUGUGUACGGCCUACGAGAGACGGAGAGAGGCUGUGUGCAAGGGCAAGGACAAGGAUUCUCGCGUCAAUAUUACUUGGCUCAACUGUUCCGCCACGAGAUGAUUGACCCACCGCGAUGAAAGGUCCAGCGGUUGCGUCUGAACAAGGCACUGAGCUGUAAAACUGUGCAGCAAGACCGUGCCAUGCUGCCGUGUCCGACCCGAUCGAGCCAUCCACGUCGCGGUCGCCGGUCGCGUCAGGGUUGAAGCCUUUCCGGUGACUGCUCCCUCGGCUAGGCUACACACACCGGCCGGCGCCACGACAAUCCAACAGAAAACAAAAUAUCAGGCAGCUGAUCUUGACCGAGAUAUAAUCUGUUUCCUGUGUGAAAGAAGAUGAACUAGCGAGCACCACAUCUCUGAUGAACUCAUGAAAGACACACUUGGGUUUUGGCCGGCGGACGCGACCCGUGCGUUGAAAAAUCCGGCGCUCUAAAGUUGUGCCGGGGUGGUGCAGCCUGCAGCAAGUUUAUUCCAGUUCUGCCUUGCUCCAAGGGAACAGUACACCGCGGUACGAAGGAUAUGGAUAUAGGAAUUCUCAGGGAACAAUGUCAUAGAUACGGUAUCCUCGGCUCGCUGAGGAAUUUUAUGGCCAUGUUCCCGCUGCCACUGGCACUGCCGCACUGCGGCGGAGCCUGUGACAUCAGCCACAGCCCACAGGCACAGAAGCACUAUCGUUCGUGCAUUUACAGCAAGAAGAGGCGCAGGUCGCAGGAUAGUACUCCACUGCUCGUCGUUGCCGAUACUGUUCGGAAGUUACUAUAGAUCCCUGGAAGUAACUGGGGAUCCAUCACUUGGGCUGGGUCCAGUGACUGCGUCGCUGCAGUGCAAGCAGGAGCAGGAGUGCAGGACCGACGAAGAUGCUUCAUGCUAGCACUCCAGUUCUUCAGGGAUGCAAUACUGCAUUUCUGCAUGUCUUAACUGUUUUUUUUUUCAGGGAGGAUGUGUUAACUUUUCACCCAACCGAAGUACUUCCAUAUUUUUUGUCGGAAUAUUACAUGUGUCUAGACACAUUUUAGGGAUAGAUACAUUCACUUGUGGACAAAUUUGAGAUAAGAAUUAUGAAACGGAGAGAAUAGUUUGUGUACUGCAUAGUGAAAAGAAAGGUCAUUGGUUCAAACUCGCUUAACUGAUAAAAUCACUUUCGUCUCAAGUUAGCAAAGUUCUGUUUGCAUGGCAGAAAUGUCCACUCGGCCAUGUGAGAACUAGCGUCCAUGAUUGUAAAUGAGGCUCCGUCACUAUUAGACUACACCACACAAAUCAUUGAGAUGUAAGUAAAUAAUACUCCAGAUUAUACAACUUACAAUAGUAGUAUAAUAUUCUCUUUAAAUGUGUAUUGUAUUUUUUGGAUGCUUGUAUAUUUUUUAGUUCUUAGCAACACACGGUGUGGUAGUUUAACAUUUUCUCUCUCCUACCGUCAGAAAAGAAGAAAUAAAAUAUACUCACAGCUGACCUGUGCUGAUGUGGAGUGUUUUAAGGCCCAAUUUCACGAAAAGGCCGUGUCCACAAAUGCAUUUGAUUUGAGGUCUUCUACUACCUAGCAGCCCAGCCUGGCCCGUGGAGACGUGCCACGAGCCUUUGCGGGCGCAGGCCGCGCGGCCACUCGCCCUGCAGUCAGAUAUUCAGAUCAUCUCUACAUCCGCUGUUGGCCUGUUGCUAAAAAAUACUCCUAAGUUAGCUGAAGACUGAAGUGAACGUACAAGGAGUCACCGUGUGAGAUUGAAUCGCACUGCACUGCACUGCUGCAUCUUCUUUUCCUUCUUCUUUGACAUGCUUGGAUGUUGUAAGUAACACUGCGUGAGUUGUAUAUAACACUGCCCCCUGCUUGACAGCUUGAGGUUUCCCUGCCAUGUGGUCGGUCUCGUUUCAUUCGCAUCUUUGCUUGAACGGAUUGCACAUGCUUCUUUUUCAAGGUAGUGCCCUGUGAAGAAAUUGAUGUGGAGGAAAAGCUCCGGAGAUCGAUUGGCCUUGAGAUGGAAGUAGCUAGACACUAGCCAUGUGGACUAAAGACACCAUGCUACGUUUGGUACCCGGGCAGCUUCAGCGCUGUUACACUGGUCUAGUCCAUUUCGGGUCGAUGUAAUGGAUCUUGUCGUUGGAUCUCCCGGGGCCUCUUUUCUUAGAUGGUCGUACAAAAUCCAGAACCAAGGUUAAUGGACAACAAUAUACAGGCCUUUCCCAGUAUUAGAGUGGGAAUUCACGGGCUCAAUAAGACUUGAAUGGGCCGAUCUGUGAUUUGGUUCACGAAGAACAAUAUACGCUGACGACCUGAUGCACGUCAGACUGACUACUGAACUACUUAAACCAUACAUAAUCAAAUGGUAAUAGCAGCAUCGCAUGGUUUCAGUAAAUUAGAUCAAGAUUUGGACCUGCAGAGUGAACAACGCAGAGAAGCGUGCACUUGGCUCACUUUCUCACCGUUAUACGUACAUGUUUGGACGAGAGGUAUUUCUUCAGAGAGAUCGGAAAUUUAGUUCAGAACUGAAACUAGACACACUGAAGUUCCAAAACAAACUCCCGGAAGUGGAUGCCACAUGCAUAAUUAGUCACCAGCGCCAAGCCUUUCCUUUCUGAAAGAUCGACCUUGAUGACAGCACAAAGCUAACGGCGAGUGUGCUCUUUUGUGAAGCCACCAUCUGCCAUAAAUAAGAGCCACCCACGGUUCAGAUCACUCUCUUGGAAAAAACGCUCGUCGCCCUUCUCUCAAACGGACACCUAAACCCCCCACGAUCGAGCACACCGGAGUCGGGCCGCACGCACGUUACACUACAGCAAUGCCGUCCCCCGGCGUCCUCACCGUCUUCCUCCUCCUGCUCCUCAUCUUCUCCGCUUCUCCCCUGACGUGCCACGCCACCCACAACAUCACCUCCAUCCUCGCGUCUCGCCGCGACCUGGCCGAGUUCAGCCGCCAGCUGACGGCGACGGGCCUCGCGGACGAAAUCAACGUGCGCAACACCAUUACGGUGCUCGCCGUGGACGACGCCCACAUGUCCUCCCUCAAGGCGCGCGGGCUCCACCGCGAGGCGCUCCGGCGCGUGCUCUCCCUCCACGUCCUCGUCGACUACUACGACGACGCCAAGCUGCACCGCCUCCCGGGCGGAUCCGCCGUCGUCUCCACCCUCUUCCAGGCCUCCGGCGACGCCCCCGGCAGCUCCGGCAUGGUCAAGAUCUCCGACCGCCGCGGCGGGCGCGUCGCGUUCCUUCCCCAGCAGCAGGACGAAGAAGCCGCGGACGACGCGCAGGCCGCCGCGGUGUUCUACGUCAAGUCGGUGCACGAGACGCCGUACAACAUAUCGGUGCUGCAGGUGAGCGCCGUGAUCUCGUCGCCGGCGGCCGAGGCGCCGUCCUUGCCAGAGUCGGCGAGGCCCAACGCCACGGACGUCAUGGCCAGGAACGGGUGUGGCCGCUUCGCGUCCCUCGCGGCUUCGGCCGGCGCGGCCUCGCGGUACGAGAAGACGAUGGCCAACGAUGGCGGGCUGACAAUUUUCUGCCCGGGGGACGACGCGAUGAAGGCGUUCAUGCCGGCGUACAGGGCGCUCAGCCGGGACUCGCAGCUCGCGAUGCUGCUGUACCACGGCGUGGCGAGGCACUACUCCUUGCCGGCGCUCAAGGCGAUCGGCGGGGCGAUGCGCACUCUGGCCAUGGACACCGGCAACAACGGCAACGACAAUGACAAGUACGUCCUCACGGCGCGCGAGGCCGGGAGCACGGUGACGCUGCUCUCUGCCGCGAAGGAGCCGGCCACGGUCACCGGCACGCUCAUGGACGCCGACCCCCUCGCCGUGUACAUCGUCGACGCGGUGCUGGUGCCCAUGGAUGGCUCGUCGUCCGGUUCAUUUGAUGGUACCGAGCAAGGCGGUGCCGGGGACGGGGGAGGAGAUGCUGCUGCGAAGAAGAAGAAUGCCGCGGCUACGUGCCGGCUGUCGUUCGUGUUGAUGCUUCUGCUGGGAGCAAUCCAAGUGGCGGCGCUCGUUUGAAGGGUAAUUGCAAGCAACUGUGUGAUGUGGAUUCCGGUGUUUGAUGAGUUCAUCGAUCUUUGUUCCGUGUCGGUUUUGGGGGGUGAUUGUUGAGUGCUUUUGGUUAUAUAGGUUCUUGAUGCGUUGGAUCGAACGUUCAUUUCAGUGGCUGUUGGCAAAAGAGAGGUUUGCAGGUUAAUGCGGGUCUGAUUCAUCUGCCUAUUAGUACCAUAUCCCCUGUGUUUAGUCCAGACUUUCCAGAUCUUGAUCUUGUGUCCUUGUGAUGUUUUGAACCGAUACACAGAAAUGCAUAUGCUUAGCUAGCUAUCUUCUGUUUGGCAAGUCUAUGGCCCAUAUUAUUACCAAGUACUCCCUCCGAUCCUAAAUUGUUGUCGAAAUAUUACAUGUAUCUAGACCGUUUUUUUAAGAAUAGACACAUUCAUAUUUGGGCAAAUUGGAGUCAAGAAUUUAGGAUCAGAGGGAGUAUCAAACAUCAUUCAACAUUCACACAACAUGAGAGAAACGGUUAUAGAAAACACUCAUGCUUCACAUAUCCUGCUGCUAGAGCUCUUCUAUGGUACCCUAUAAUAAAUAGGGACCGUUCAUUUGUAUAGAUCUAACGGCAGAUAUCCGUGUAUGCUGCUAGAACUAGACCGGCAGUACAUACACCGCUCAGAGGGCAAUUUGGAAAGAUCGAAAAUUUCCAGCCCGCGUGGACCCGACCUGGCCCACUCUCUCUCCUUCUCGUUCGUUCCCCUGCUCCCCUUCUUCUUCCCUGCGUGUGGAGCCGCCACGCCGCCGCCAUGCCCAUGGCCCUCCGUGAACCAUCUAAAUACUGCUGCACUAGUCGUUUGAUUCCGAUGUAUGAGAUACAUUGGUCGAGAUAACCAAGGCAUGGACAGAGCGGUGUGGGUAUGAGAUACAUUGGUCGAGAUAACCAAGGCAUGGACAGAACGGUGUGGGUUCAGAACCAGGAGAAGAUGUAGUAGCAGUAACUCAAUAUUUCAUUCCUGACAUAGAUAUCGAUGUACCCUUGUUCGAAUCAGAGUUCUUCAAAUGCUUGCUGUAACAUGAGAUUAACCGUGGUAACAGUAUGUGUCUAUAUCUCUCCAAUCUCCAUAUAGAACCAGGUAUGCCACUCAAGGUUUUAAUAGUUGACCAAAAAAAUAUCUAAUUAUAGUACCACCGCGCUAGGUGUGCAUCCCUCGUCUCUCUCCAAUUUCUUCAAUUUCUCAGGAACCCUAGGGCUGCCCGUCGAUGUUCCUGUUCAUGCGGCUGCCCGACCUGCCUAAACUUUUAGCCGUGGGGCCAACAAAGACAGUCAGAAUCUUUUACGGUUAAUUGAUUUAAAUAUCAAAUGUCCAUACUACCCUUAGAAAUCAACGGUGGAUAUAUACAUAUACUGCUCAUUGCCUCCUAGCAGUAGAGGGGUACCAUAAAAAAAGCUCUGCUGCUAACACGCCGUUUGUAAAAGCUGAAAAAGUCCAACACGAUCAUCUCCAAACGGGUGCAUCCAGAGUCCACAUCCAUGUCUACAUAUGGAGAGACAACUUACUCGUGAAACAAAACAUUGAAACAUACGCAACAUAAAAGUUGUAAGAUUGAAACAUUCAUUCGUAAAACAAUGUGGUGCGAUUAAAGACAUUUUUCCAUGUGGUGAAAACUAAAAUUUCAGACGGAAACUCAUCUGACCAAAAGCUAAAAAUCGAACUACAGACGUAAAGCAUUUUCCAAAAAGAAAAGAAGAAGAACAAAGCAAAUUGUACGGCACCGGGCCACCAACGACUGAGCUUCCUAUUACCAAGUAAAGGCAAUACGGGUUUCCAAAUCAAGAUAUCCAUCCACACAUGAACACUGUUGGUGCAGAGGACGCACCGCACUUGUGCGCAACUAAUCGCAAAAUCCAUCAAUUGCCUUUAUCCCGGAUGAGGCCAGCAACCUUUGGUCCUUUGCCGCUGGCUUCUGCAACCUCUCCAUCUCUAGCUAGCAUCUUUGCGUAGAGCCGUAUAGGCGAAGCACAUGCACGCCUGCGAGCCCCGGAUCCCGACCAAUUUCGAGCCGCCGACGUUAAUCGUCGACUCAAUGUGGACCGUGGACGCAUUGCACCUAGUUGGCAAGCAGAUCCGUUCCGGAUGAACGGUACGUGAGAGUGAGACAGAGCAGAACAUGAGCCCGGCUAAGCCAGAUCACUUGAUUCUGAGUUCAGUGUGCGUGACCGACGGUAGCUUUGGACCCGCUCCCUUUGUUGGCCAGCCAGGCCCGAUCCAUGGAGCAAGAUUUUAACUGUAGCCGCACCGGCGAGUUAAUUUGCUUGCCUCGUACGCUUUGGAUCGAUCUCGCCAGAAAGGCUUAAUUUAACUGCCUUUGCCUGCGAGAGCUGUGCACAGAACGCACUUUGUUGAAAGAACGUAGGUUCGUAGCCGUGUAGCAACAGUAAAGUCUGUAAAAGAGAAAGCAGGCGAAGAAGCAAAGGCGGGGGCUUCUGCGGCGCGCGAGCUGGACUGGCCGGGCAUGCAUGUGUCGUGUCGUGUCAUCGUCGGUCUUGCGCGUACACCGAAGUCGGAAAGAUGGGCACGUUAGGACUGUGAUCGAUCUGAGGGCGCAUGCACGCACCGGCUUUAGCUGUUUCUUUUUUUUUUUUUUUUGAGGGCGGAUGCACGCACCGGCUUUGCCCGCUUCGCCUCCUCAUCCCGUCCGGCAACACUGGGCCUGGUCAGGAAAACAUGGCCCAUGACUCCCGCGUACUCAUCAUUUGGGCCAUCUGUCUAAGCCCGGUCAUAAGUAAUGGCUCACAAUGAAUAAUACUCCAGCUUUCUGGGAACCAUAGCUUUCUUCGGUCUGUUCUUUCUUCGAUUUCAUGUUGAUUGUUUUCUGGGAACCAUAGCUUUCAUUUUAUAGUAGACAACAUGAAUACAGUCAUGCUGAAUGCAUGUUGCCAAGAAGCUAGAGAUUUCGUCCGAAUCCAAGCAAACACAUAUUGGCCUGAACUCUGAAGGAUGUUUUGCCAAAAUAUGCGCAACCAUGUUCAUAGCACGCCUUACAAAUACAGCAUCAACAAAAAGGAAAAUCCUGCUAAGCUCUUCAAUUUGCAUAGUCCUUUUCCGCCUAUGACAUUCCAAUAUCUUGAUGUACUAAUGGCCCAUAGUCAUGCGCAACAACCUAAAUGCCACACCGGAUGAUUGUUUUGUCGUUUAUGUGUCGGAUGUAUUAUGUGGCUGUGUGCAUCGCUCCGAUGCAGAGGCCGGGAGCUCCCCCUUUUCGAAAAAAAAUGUGUCGGAUGCUCCCACCGGAUAAUCUCUUUGUCAACGUUAUUGUGAACGGAAGACCGGACCUUAUUUUGAUGCUUAUGUAUGAGGAUUCGUAUUGGAUCAAAUUAUUUAUGAGCACCCAUAUAAGAUAUAAAUAGAUCACAAUUUGUUAAAGUACUCGUUGUCACUAUGUCAUCAAACGUACGUGCGCUCGCCAUAAUUUGUUGCGUCCAAUGAGGCAACGGGAAUAUGUUGCAGCCUUUUUGUCGGUGAAUCAUAAUUUUCUCUUUCUAUUUCGAAAAACUAUCACUUCAUAAAUGUUGCAUCACUAAAUAAAUUUGUUGCUAACCAUGCCAGUGCGACCAUUUUUCAUGAGUCUUUUUGUUUAAUGGGUUUGGUGAGUUCCUUUAUCGUGUAACUUUAUUAGCAUUGUGCUUUGGAUAAAAGAAAACCUGAAUAACCUUAAGAACAUUCCAGCCAAUCCCCCCACAGUGGCUGGCUCGAAAUGAAAGAUAAAGGAUGUAAAAAAGAUUAAAAAUAUAUACAAAAAAUAAUAAAGAAAUAACAAGUAAAUAGAUGGUUAUCUUCAUUCUAGGAAAAUAUUUAUGUAUGCAAUUAAUGAUAGUCAAAAGUAGAAAGACGAUAUCUCCAAAACACUAACAUUUAUGUCCGCAGUUAAUCAUUGGUCACAAGUAAAGAUAUAUAUGACAUAUCAAAAACCAAAACAUUAGUGUCUGCAAUUAAUUAAAGAUCACAAGCAAUGAGAUGAUAUCUCCAUUCGAGGGAAACUAAUAAUUGUCUACAGACAAUUAUAGAUACCAGAAAGAAUAUCGAGCGAGCUAUGCCGUUGACUAUAAAAACUACACAGGUUUAGGCAGUACAGAUGUGCAAUCCAGAGUAGCCUUAGUACGACAAAGGAAGAUUCAAUUUGAGCAUAAGCACAAAAAUAGCAGCAAUCCAAGGGAAGAAGGUGUCUCGGUAUUGUUCUAUUCACUUCAUUUGUAUUCAUCACUGUAUGUCAUAUAAGUAUGCAUGUGUGGUAGUCUCGAAAUCAAGUAAUCUCGGCGUCCCAGAUCUAGCUUUGUUUCGUGUAUUAAGGUGAAUUUCGGCAAUCUAAGUUUAAGCUUUCUCGAGUGUUUGUGUGCAUGCGGUACUGCACUGAGACUAAAUAAAUGAAUCUAUCAUAUCUUUGUUGCAAUCUGGAACUUUGACACUACUGUAAAUUCAUGAUUUAACUAAGCUGCAUACAAUUUACAAUAAAUUUGCUGCCAGGACAUGAGCAACAAGGCGGAGGUCAGGGAGCCGAGGACCGGCACCGGCUCGCAGUUCAUUUUGCGACACCAGCACGUCACCUUCGAGGCCCUCUAUGACAUAGAUCCCGACAUCCCACAGUGCGUCCAGCGCACCAUGAAUGAGUGCAUCCUAGACCUGACCUGCGAGGUCGUCUUCCAGGCCGCAGAAGAGUGCAGCCAAGGCCGGCGCAAUGUCAUCUCGGCAGAUGACAUGGAGCGGGCGAUCGACAUGGCGACGACCGGGAACACGGGCUGGGCACGGCCGCUGCGGGAGCGUUUCUACCUCCUGAGAAGAGAGAUGGAUGCUGUCAGGCGAGCUCGGAGUCAUCCGGCUCUCAGACGCCGUGGAGGUCGACGUGGUGCAAGUGCAGCAACAACGGGCACCGGGGCAGGGACUAGCUCUAGCGGCGGCCAAGCCAACGACGCCCAACCUGCUGCUCAAGAGUAACGUCCAGACUCCAGAGGAGGGUUUAGCGGCAAACCAACUUGCUGGUCAACAGAAACGUCGAUGACGACAUUGUAUCCGUUUUAUUUUUGGGUCUUGGGACCUGCGCAAUGUUUCAUGUUUUUUGUUUUGUUUUGUUUUUGAGUGAGAGGAUUGUUUCCCUUCAUGAUUUGCGUGUAGGUGUACAUGUACCAUGGAGUUGAACAUAACCUCACUAGGAGUAACUUUUUUUGUUGCACUUGCGAAUAAAUAUAUUUGCAAUUUAGUGUUGAGUCAAAUGUUACAUGACAUCCGUGGUUGAUGAUUGUCCACAGUACUCGACUACUAAGUAAAAUGUCUUUUGGCUCAUGGGAUUUAGGGAUCCUUUAUUUGGAAAAAAUAUACUUCAUCCGUCCAACAAAAGAUGUUUCAAAUUUGACAAAAUUUGGAUGUAUCUAGACAUGACUUAGUGUAUAGAUAUAUCAAAUUUAGUCAAAGUUGAGACAUCCUUUAUUGGACGGAGGAAGUAUCAUAUUUAUAAGUUCUAAAGAAUUCUGAAAUUUUUCUUCAUGGCAAUCAUGCUUGAACAGCCAUAUUGCAUACGGGGGCUGCACCUGCAAUAGUUUAACCCCAUCUUUUUGUGGUGAGAUGUUGUCAAUUUUAUUUUUGUUUGUUUGCGUGGUCUAACUAAAUCUCUGGGUAUCAUGUAGUGAUGCUAUAUUAUUACUAUAAGAAAAUCUACCCUCGGAACGAUUGCUCCCUAGCUAGCGUCUUAGGGAUCAGUGACAUUCGAGUGUUGUCCAGUCGGGUGGAGAAGAGAAUGGAUCCGUCUUGGAAGAGGAACAAAGGGAUAAAGAAAAAGGGAAUGCAAAAAAAAGGGAACAAGGAAGAAGAGGGAAGGUUCCUUCAAAACAAAAAAGGGGAAGGAAGAUUGACCGGCAAGCUCGACUCCCAGUAACAGGCACCCUUGAGGACAAUCAACGCCAUUGUGCUUAACAGGGAUAGUUCAUAUGGCGGUUAUAGUGACUCGAUUUGUUGGCAGCAAUAGUCAAGGCAAGAGGAAGGGGUGGAGGAACAUGAAGGGCAUGUAUGGGGGGCAGAUCGUAGCGAUAACUAGGAGAGUUUGGUCAGGGAGGUGGAAGAUAGGGCAAGCCAGCAGUAGAAGAGGAGAUGAGGGAUGUCAAGAAAUACACAUAGUACGUAGCGAGGCAAUUACCAUAGAUAUAAAUGCCACAACGUAUUAGGGUUUUGUCAUCUUUGUGUCGGUUGCUAGCUCUGACGAGAUAAUUUCCUCACCAUCAUUAUUGUGGAUGUUCAUCAGAUAGGAGGAGGAUAGUGCAACUAAGAGGUUAAGGAGGAGUAGCGAUAAGGAUAGUAACUGCUAACCAAGCAACAGUCAUAGAUAUAGAGCUUUUACGGUACCCCGAAUUUAAUACAUACCGUUUAUUUGUCCCGAUCAUUGUAUAAUUUGGCACUCCACGGUUGAUUCUAUGCAGUACCUUGAUUUGGAGGGUAAAAUAGUAAUUUGGGGAGGAUAUUUUAAUCUGUCCCUUGCUAACCUGAAUCGUUACUUUCACUUUCCAAUAAAAAAGACAAAUGAUUCAGCUUUGACCUAACCCCGCCACCACUUGACUGGCCUACCACACCGGCGUAGCGGACGAAGGUGCGGCUGAAAGCAUUAGCGGCUCUGCCGAGCUCCUUCAUGCAACGGAUAAUGCGGUGCCGCCACCCACCCUUGCAAAUGAUCCCAUGCUAAUUAAGUUGGUUUGCUCUCGGAGGGUUGAUUCGGUGUAGUGGAUAGUAGUUUUGAUUUUUUUUUAUAGAAGUCGAUCGAACCAUGAGCAAAUUCAAUUCAAUUGCACAUAUGUGGAUGCAUUAUUUGGGAUGUGCAGAGAGAAUCGCUGGAACGCAAUUUGUGCCAUGAUUGAUUCAGCUAAUUAAACACUAAUCAAAUAAGCCAGUCAGGGUGCCUAGCUAGCUUUGAACAGAUCAGGUUGUUGAUGGCAUGUUGAAGGCGGCGCCCGAGAUGCCAGACUCCAGACGCCUAAGAUGAGACGGGUGACAUGCAUUACGGCGGAGGAUCGCCGCCCGUCCAUGGUGACGAAGGACGAUGAAAUUGUGUGCUAUCGGGAUUACCGGAGUAGAUUAAGAUAAAACAUAAUAUUACUCAUAAAUUAGCAAAAGAAAGGGACUAAUUUGCCCUUCAAUUGGAUGGCCAGAUGUAUAAACUCUAUAAAGUUGAAACCCACUAAGUACAGUUAAUUUAGCAAGCUGCGCAUGCGGCCUGUACACGUCAGCGUCUUUUAAUCAUCCACAUCAGCGUCAACCACAAUCCAUUAUUUUUCUCGAUUGGUGCUCAAUUCUUUCUGUAACUACUGCUAGAGUCUGUGCCGCCGAUUCAACUGUCGCGGGGGAGAUCUAGGAUGGGGGUGCCACCACGGCCCACGGGGGGGAUAGAAGAGGUGAGGGGAGCUGCCGUUGGGGAAAAUGGAGGACUAGAGGGCUCGGGAGAUAGAGGGGAGGGGGGGGGGGGGGUGUGCUGUAGGAGGGGAUAGGGUCCGCCGAUGUGGAAGAGGAGUAGAGGAUCUCAGGGCGCCGCUGCGCUGGGAGCUCGAGCGGGCGCCGCCGGUGGUGCCGCGGCCCGGUAUUCGCUGCCGCCGCAAUGGGAGGGGAUGGAGGCCGUCGCUGGAAAAGAGGAGGAGGGUAGGGUCGGGGGCAGCAGGGUCUGGUCUGUAGCAGGGGGCUUGAGCUAGCUAUAGGCGCGAUCGAGCAGAGCAGCAAGCUGCCGAGGACGGGAGGAAUAGGAGUAGCAGGCACGCGUGGUAAGAAUCGAGCAGAGCAGCUAGCAGGCGAGCGAGGACGCGAGGAAGAUGAGCAGCAUGCUAGUGGUUGGUCGAGACUUGAGAGUAGUUAGCCGUGCAGCCAGACAAUUUGCUGUUUUGAUGCAUUGCUUCUUUGUAGAUUUUUUUGAGAAAAGCCUUUUUUACAUUGCAUACUGCUAUGUCUCCAUGGAUGGUAAUUUGAUUAUUCGUAGGUAUGCAUUCGUCAUUAAAAUAGUACUCCCUCCGUCCCGUAUUAAGUGACUUUCUAUUACAUGUAUUUAGACGUUUUUUAGACAUAAAUACAUCCAUAUUUGGGAAAAUUUGAGUCACUUAAUAUGGGAUGGAGGGAGUAGUUGGAUUGAUAUUUAUAAUAUAUUAUUAAAAUAUGGGAGAGAAUAUACACAAUAUGUACAUUGACAAACUGCCAAAAAUUGAAACAUGUUGACAAGAAACCCUUUUAGACUAUUGUCGAUAUCUUGGUAUACAACCAAACAUAAACAAGUUGUUGAGGAUGAUCUAAACAACCAAGCUAGCUUUCUAAGAAAAUAAGCCAGAAAGAAUCGUCGCUCGAACACCAAACCACUUGUAGUAAUGAGAUUGGUAAAAAUCUCUAUUGUUUUGUCUAUUUUAAUGAAUGUUUUCUGAAAGUCAUAGUUUCUCAGGUGUUGAAUUAUAUGUGUACAUACACCAAUAUCAUAUUGUUAAUGCCCGGUUGUAUACCCAUAUCAGUUUGAUCGGAAAGACAAGUGACUCAUUUGUUUCUAACUUCCAACUAUGCGGCCAUAAGGAACUCUUAUAUUUCCGCGGUAACGCGAGGGGAAUCCACUAGUUUACUUGAUACUCCAGCCUGUAGUCAAGGAGUACCAGGAUACCAUAAAUGAAUUAGGGCUCCGUCUUUCCUGUGUCGGAUUCUCCGACCGAAUAAUUACUUUAUCAUCAUUAUUGUGAAGGGUUAUCAGGGGGAGGAUAGGGCAAGGCAAUAGAGAGUAUGGGUGGCAAAAAAAAAAGUCCAUAACCAGGCAAUAAUCAUGAUAUAAAUGCCACACCUAAUCAUGGUUUUGUCGUUUAUGUGUCGGAUAACCCAACCGGAUACACCCGUUAUUAUCAUUAUUGUGUGUAUGUUUGCAGAUUCAUAGUGGAUAAAAAUCUUCAUGGCCAACUACACUGGCUAUAAAUAGAUCACGGUUGAUUAAAGCUGUCAAUACUAAGCCAUCAAACACACACAACGGUACAAUUAUGCGUUCUCGGCUUUGAUGCACCCAACGGGGCAACAGAAUCCGCUGCCUUUCCGUUGUUGGAUAGCACAAUUCUCUUCGUGUUGAAAAUCCACAGUAUAGAUGUUUGUGUGACUAACUAAUUAAGCUUCUUGUCGUCCUUUCUUGUGUGCGACCAUUUUUCCAUAUUUCUUUAACUAAACUUUACUGAUUCCUCUUUGCAUCGAGCAAUAUACAACUACAUAAUUCCUCUUUACCUGAGCGAUCGAGUAAAUACGACUGAAAAAAGGUAGGAGUACUCCGUAUCAAUUCUGAUAAAGCUAUUUUUUUUUGCCGGAAUACGAAGUUUUGACUAAGCGCAAUAUACAUGGCGAUAACCAUUUUUACUGGAGGUAAGCAUUCAGUAAUAAUGUGCAAGCGUGUUGGGAAACAGCAAAACUAGUCGGUUGGUCACCGGCUUCCGAAAUUUCGCUGUAACGAUUCCAUGCAUGCAUAUCAGUGUCACCAUUCACCAGUGUACACAGACGGAGACAGCCAAGCCGCUGCCACUUGUCACCUACAGGCGCCGCGUCGCCUCGGCGUACACGCAUGCAUGCCCCUCUAGGCUCUACUAGCUACACUAUGGUCAACACGUACUACCUGGUAGCCCUCCUAUUUAACGUAUCCUCACGCAUCACAAAGAGAGCACGACAUCCUCCUACACGAGACAAAGCAACAGUUGGCCGGUGUACACAGUUCACACAAAGACAGAAGCAACCCUAGAACAGUAGGAGUAGUAGCCAGGCGUAGCCAAAAUGGAGAUGGGUUUCGCUGCAGGCACGGCGGCGAACGGCGGCGGUGGUGCGGCGGCCGCGACGAACGGCGGCGGGGGAGGGAAGGCGCCGGCGGCGGCGGCCAUACGGGAGCAGGACCGUCUGAUGCCGAUCGCGAACGUGAUCCGGAUCAUGCGUCGCGUGCUGCCGCCGCACGCCAAGAUCUCGGACGACGCCAAGGAGACGAUCCAGGAGUGCGUGUCGGAGUACAUCAGCUUCAUCACGGGGGAGGCCAACGAGCGGUGCCAGCGGGAGCAGCGCAAGACCAUCACCGCCGAGGACGUGCUCUGGGCCAUGUCCCGCCUCGGCUUCGACGACUACGUCCAUCCGCUCGGCGUCUACCUCCACCGCUUCCGCGAGUUCGAGGGCGAGGCCCGUGGCGGCGGCCUCGGCGCCGGGGCAGGAGGCUCGCUCAGGUCCCCCCGCGGCGGGCCGGCGCCCGGGUCGGCGUCGUCCAUGGUGCCUGGUGCUCAGCACCACCACGACAUGCAGAUGCACGCCGCGGCCAUGUACGGGAACCCCAUGGCGCCGCCGCACCAUCACGCGUUCCUCAUGCCGCAGCCGCAUUACGGGCAGCAGUACGAGAUGUACGGCGGCGGCGAGCAUGGGAUGGGCGCCGCCGCGUACUACGGAGGUGGGUACGCGCCCGGAAACGGCGGACAUAAUGGAGACAGCGGCAGCGGCGGCGGGGGCGCAAACACGCCGCAGGCUGUCAACUUCGAGCACCAGCAGCCGUUCGGGUACAAGUAGUAAUCUUAAGCUUAGCCCUGCAUCUGCAAUGUGCAGCUAGGUAUGGCAUUUUAAGUCUAGUGUACUGGUCAGCUUGUUGGUUAGAACUACUCUGUUGUGCUUUAGCCCUUCAUUAGGCGCAUGCAUGCAUCUAUCUAGCUAGCUAGUGACCUCUCCGUUGUGCUUUUGCGAAGUUCAAAUGGCGAUCAGAUCUCAGGCGUCCUUGUAUCCUGUUUUACUUAACUGCAUCCAAUUUUACUUUUCUCUCCGUUGUGCUUUUCCAAUUCCAACUUAGCUAUUCCACCGUCGAGGAAUUAGCAACAACUAUCUUGUAAUCUUAGUUGUGCGUCUCUCUGGUGUGCGGUUUAAUUUGUUUAACCAAGUCGCAAAAAUCGGAAUUCAACUCGAUUGAUCUCUGUGCAAAACCCACAGGACUCACUAACCUGAAACCGUACUCUCCUAGCUAGAUCGACGACAUUGGCGGCCGUACACGGGCGGGGUGUGUGUGGCCAGUUACUUCCCUAGAUAUCGUCUAUAGAGACUAGAGAGACGUUGCCAUUGGAUACUCCUAUUUGGGUUUUGGAUCGCUCCGGCCGGAGGAACUGCGGAAAAAAGAUGCCGGCCGGAAGCCGUGAUCCGGUUGGUGGGAGGUACUCCAAUCCGUAUUGUACAAUCCGUUGGUGCGUAGAUACGUACGGCCGUGGUGUACGUACAUCGGCGUAUAAUCGAUCGCCCCAGUAUAGUCUUCUUGCGCUUUGCAUGCGGGGCGCGCGACAAGUGCCGGCAUGUAGGCGCAGGUGCCCCUUCGAUUCCGCUUCCGCUUCCGCCGGGUUUAAUAUUGCGGCUGCGUGUCAGCCUGUAUCAGUAUCGAUGUCAGGGCUUCGUUUCGUUUCCCCUGCUCCCUCCAGUGCAUGCCCGUCUCGCUGCCGCUUCGGGAACUGCAGACCGCAGCUUGCCUAGUUCUGUGAGCUCUCCGCGCCCAGCACCUUCCCAAUGCAGGCUGCAGGCAUGCAGCAGCCCCUGACGACGGCCCUGACCGUCCUUCUCACACAGUCACACUACUGUACGCACGACCGUGUGAGCUCAGGCAGAUCUUUCUUUUCUCCUUUUUUUUUGUUCCUGCGCCUGCGCUGCGUGCGUGACGAAAUACCUUGAUCUGAAUCCUCUGUAGCCAUGCAUGCAUGCAGCGCUGCCAUGCCAUGCCCAGGCGUACCACUUUACUCUUUUCAACAUUUACCUGUCUACUCCUUCAGUACUAGAAUGACGAUCCCUUUGCUGAUGCACACUGCACAGUACCGAUGCACCGUAAAAAUUCCAAAGAAGUUUCACGCAAUUCGAUUCACAUGUACCCGAGAAAGACCCCGCAGUAGAACUGCCCUGAGAGGUCAAUAUGGGUUGCUCCUUUUCUUCACGGGGUAGCUGUCCUCGGUGAUGUCAAGGCCAGGUCCUCAUGGCUGCAGCUGUAUUCGGGUCCUGUUUAAAAUCUUCAGUGUGCUUGUCCACUGUGGCCACCGCGGCAGCGAUGCUCUGGACAUCGUCCACAAGAUGCACAUUGGAUCAGCAUUCAGCAAGUUAUUCUUGAUUCCUGAAAGGGAUGGUCAAAAAUCUGUGCUGUAAUGAAUAACUGUUAAAGAUGGUAAACAGAUUAUGGUGGAAUGUUUUGAAAAAAAGAUUAACACCUUAUUCUCUCUUAGAGGAUAUACUAUGUUGCGCAUGAACCUGCAGAAGUUCGGGGCAGCCUUGAGGUUUGUCUGCUUAUGGCUUGAUCAAGAUUUCCAAGAGUUGCAUAACUCAUCAUCUUAAAGGAAAAGCUCUAUUCCCUUUGUCACGAAAAAUAAUGUAGGCAGGAUCCAUGUUUCUGAAUUCUAAGAUGUAGACAACAAGUAUGAGAAAAUGACAGCACCCUGUUAUCCUUCAGUAUUAUGCAGUCCUUGACCACAGUAUACAUUAUCUCUGACCACCCAACAGAAAUACCCGGAUAUCAAAGAGAGCACUACAAAGUAUGUAUGCCUAGUUAAACAAAACAGUUCUAAAAAAUAAUGGUGCACCUAGAAGCGAUGGCACCAUGUCUUUCUUUGCUCUACUCAGUCUGGGCGAUGGCACCUCCUGCUGGUGUGGCCUCUGCAGCAGCGCUGGAAGAUUGAUCCCCAGCUUCUCCGUUUUCAUUUCUAACACACUGCCUUUUUAUAGCCACGUCGGACUCUCCCUCUUCUAGUUCUUUAUCACCACCAUCAUCAUUAUCUAUUUCCUCAUGAAAACCCUUGUCAAUGUCUUCCUCUGAAUGAUCUCCAUUUGCAGCGCCUUCAGCUGCAGCAGAAUCAUCCAUGCUUGCUUCGACCUUAUCAUCUGCAGCUCCAGCUUCUCCUCGUUUCCUCUGUGGGAUCACAUGAAAGAAUGCAGUCUUCCAGUCCUUAGUUUCCACAAACUUUUGCAUUAUCUCAAACACUUGAUUAACUGUAAGAACCUGCACGAGCCACAUGCAAGGAGAGUCAACAAUCUUAUACUCUUUGUACAGCUAUCCAAAGACCAGACUCCAGACAAGAUAUUAGCAACAAUCUUUCGUGAAUAUCUUAAAUAAACCUGUACUUUCACAUAGCCAAGAAACUAUUGAUAACUUCGCGCGGUAGUUUAAAUGACACCAGCAAAUCAAUACAGAUGACUCCUAAUACUGCAUUGAAGCGUGACAAGACUCCAGAGAAAACAGCAAAAACUAGUAUGUUACCUUUUUCCUUUCUAAAAUCUAAAAUGCUCUUCAGGCUCUUUUAACAAUUUGAAAAAUGAUGUGUCAUAUGAUAACAAAGUUCACCAUAUUAUUGGAGAAAAGGAAAUCAUCAGAACAUCUAGGCAUCUUGGAAUGCUAAGGGUUAUGCCAUAUCUGAUGUCUAAAACUUUGAAUAUAGGCAAGGUAACAUUUUGUAUUGCGGAAACAGUCGAGCAUAGAUAUGCGCACCUGAGAACUUGACAUCUUUAAAUAAUUUCCAAUGGGAAGCUUGGCAGAUUGAAUGCCCUGAUCAACUGCCUUUUUCUGUGUUAUGCCUUUCCAUCUGUUCCGAUCCACUAGACCACCAAUGAUAUAUAUCUUAGACAUGUCUAGAUCAUCAAGCACAGUCUCAGCAUCCGCUGUAAGAUACACAAGGUUUUCUUUACAAUCUUCAAAUGCUUCAAGAUAAGGCUUGGCCUCUUUUCCAAUGAUCCACUUGUCAAAUCCAGGAAUCCUUUGAAGCUGGGUCCCCAUUUCUCCGCUGCAACCUGUCAACCAUAGAUGAGCAGGCGUUGCUGAUCUCCCGUUCACUGCAUAGCAGUACAUAAUCUGUAACUUGCAUUAGUUGCUGGUUGGCAUGUUUGCUCAAACUAAAUAUCCAUGAAGGUAGAAGGCUUGGCAGAGACAGGCAUUUAGAUACAAUAAACUAGAGUCCAUAAUAACACAGAUGCUGCUUUCAUUUAUUUUAUUUGUUAUGCAGAUGCAGGUACUGGUGCAGAUAGACAAAAAAGAAUUGGGUAUAGCACAUCCAUGAUUAACAUUUGGCAGUAGUAUAGCACAAAUUGAUAAUUCUUGAGAAGAAAUCAUCGUCCAUGCAAGAUGCACCCCAAGCAAUAGGUUGCAUCACCGUAAAUAAUUAUAUUUCAUAUGCAUUACACAAGAAAGCCGCUUAUUAGCAUAAUUCAUUAACUUCGGAUAGAUAUACCAUCCCACCUCUCACACAACAAAAUGAUAAUGAAAGGAAACUACCCAUGCUUCCGGUACAACAUUGUACUCCUACCAAGGAGCUGGCAUGAACAUUCAGCAAAAACAACCUUCGCAUCUAGUGUUAACCUAACCAUCAUAUUUACCCCUUCGUUUCAGUUCAACACUUGGCAUCAAACUAAACUGAGACCAGUUGCAGAAAUAAGGCAACUCUGCACAUGCAUUGUCUACAAACGAACUAGUUUAAAUCUGAAAUAAUCGCUCCAUCCCCUAUUAGUUCCCUUAUUACUCCAACCAUCAAGGUUAAUUGUGUGAGUUCAAAAUUUAGCGAGAAAAGGCGAGAAGGGCAAGGCGAACCCACCUGCUGCGUGAGACUGUGAAGCUCGUUGGGCCGCAUGAGGUCGGCGAACUCGAGGUCGAGCACCACCUUCUGCCCGGCGCCCUCGGCGGCGCGCCGGAGCCUCUCGGCGCGCGCGCCGCGCUCAUCCACGCGCUUGCCCACCCUCUCACGCCGUGUCUCCCUCCGCGCCGCCAACAUCUCCUCGCGCGCCUCAUCCGACGGCGCCGCUGCUAACGCCUCCUCCCACUCGCGCCUCCGCCUGUCCAAGUCGGCCCGCCGGCGCUCCUUGUCCGCCACCUUCCGUUCGGCCUUCCGCGCCGCCUGCCGCUCCUGCUUCAGCAGCUUCUUCCUCGCGCUCUUCGACAGCGGCGGAGGAUUCCCGUCCACCACAACCGCGGCCUGCUCGCCCUCCGCGUCGUCAGCCAUCCCAACGCGCCGCCGCCGCCGCAGUUGCUGGGUUCGGGGGAGAAGGGGUUUGGGUUUCGCCGUGGAAUCCGGAGACUAGCGCCACAUGACCGUAAACGAACACUCUUUGACGGCCUUUCAGAAAUACGUCUUCUAACGGGCUUUACGUAUUUCAAAGUGCUCCGUAGCCCCUCCGUCGCGGUUAGCUAAUCAACGUUCAUCUGAAAACGGAGAACGUUUCACCGCAACGACCCCCUCCGAUUCCGCGCACGUACGUGACCCACUCCGCCACUUCCCACGGCGCCACUUCCAAACCCUGUAGUAUAAAACUUGAAACGCCGCAGUUCACUCUUGAUCACACCCACUCCAAGAACACACCUGUAAACCCUUUCUUCCUGUACUGAUUCCCUUUCGAGUUUGGUCAGAAAGAGUUCCAGGUUCCAAUCCAACCGCUGCUGCUGCACGUACGUACGCCAAUGGCCAACUUCCUCGUCCUCGCGGCCACCACUUCCUGCAUCCUCCUCGCGGCCUCGUUGCCGCCGGCGUCGUCGAUGCCGGCGGUCUACAGCGUCGGCGACGAGAAGGGCUGGAGGAUGCCGGCGGGCAACGGCACCGAGUCCUACAACCACUGGGCCAAGCGGAACCGCUUCCAAGUUGGCGACAUCUUGGGUAAAUUCCGCAUUCAGAAACUCCAUCCAUCUCCUCUUGAUCCUUGAAAAUCAUUAUACAACGUGAUGACUCGGUCGUGCAUUUGGUCAGAUUUCAAGUACGCGAACGACUCGGUGCUGCUGGUGAACCACGACGAGUACAAGCAGUGCAGCACGGAGAGCCCGGCGAGCCGGUUCACGGACGGGGACACCAAGUUCAAGUUCGACCGGGCGGGGCCACUCUACUUCAUCAGCGGCGCGCCGGACCACUGCGAGGCGGGCCAGCGGAUGAUGGUGCACGUCGUGGCGCACUCCACGCUGGCCGCCGCUGCCCCGGCCAAGCCGCCGGCGUCCUCCGCGGCGCCCUCCGCCGCCGUCGUCCGCGGCCCAGGAACGCCGUCCUACGGGUCCAGCUCUGGGUCGAUCGACAGUGCCACCCCGAGCCCGCUGGCCGAGCCUAGCGGUGCGUCUGGGCGUGCGAUCGCGGCAGCUGGUUUCUACGGCGUGACGAUGUUGCUGCUUGUCGGUGUUGUCACCAUGUUGGCGUGAUCUUGUUGACAGAUCGAGGUUAAAUUUAGGUUCUUGAUGAGUAGUGUGUGCGUGUCAUCGCUUAGGGAUGAAUGUUAGUUUUGAGAUUUAGGGAAAACGUCAGAUCUGUUAGGGCGGGUUCUGUUUGGGUAAACUGCUUCAUUAGGCGAAACCUCGGUGUAAUCCAUUCCCCUCCAAUAAAAUGGAAAUAAAUUUCGCCAUUGCUGGUUCCUUGUCUCGAUACCAGAAACUUUAAAAAGGUAAAGUUUUUAUUAUAAAAAAAUGUAAAGAAGGGUAAAAUUAAUUAGUAAAUCGUUUGCAAACCUGCUUAAUUUUAGGCAGCGUCCCAUGCAAAGCAUAUGCAUGCACGCGCGGUUAGCGCGGGUAUAAGUAUGCGGAAGGAGUGCCGUUGCGUUUCUCCAUCUUCUCCUCCUGCCUUCCUCGCCAGCCUUUCCUCUCAUCCCUGGGGGAAAUUUUGCCCCUAAAAACUUCUCGAGGAUCGGGUCCAUUCCUCAAGGGGGCAAAAUUUUCUCUCGCGUCUCCCGCUGAAGGAAACCGCCAGCCGUCAUCGAUCGUACCAUGUCGGUGAGUGCACGCAGCAGAUCCUCUCCAAUUAACGGAGCUAUCCUAUCCGAUGCGUUGACAAAGAAAGAAGAAAGAAAUGGUGAUGGAUGUUGCUUUUUAAUUUGUUUGAACGCAGAUGGAGGCUGGCCGCACGAUCCCCAAGUUCGGCGCAUGGGACGUGAACAACCCGUCCUCCGCCGACGGGUUCACGGUUAUCUUCGGCAAGGCCAGGGAUGAGAAGAAGGCCCCCGCCACCGUCCCCGGCCCCGGCAACGUGCAGUACAACAAGAUCAACAGGCCCGGCGACGACAUCAAGGAUGCCAGGGCCGAGAAGAUGAACCCAUCCUACAACAACAACAACGCCAACAACGCCAGGACCAACGGAUCGGUACGUAACGCCAAGCCUCCCGGCCCAACAUCCCUUGUUUCUUCUUACAGAUCCGUUCAUUCCUUGGCCUCUGAACUUCUCUUGCAGAAAAAAUGGUUCUGCUGCGUGUCGCCAAGCCCCACGCAGCCUUGAGACAGCGGCAGCUGGAAGGGGGCUUUGAGAGUGCGAUGGAUGGAUGGAGGAGAGGAUCAGUGUCAAGCUGCUGCUGCUGCUGCUUCAUUUAUACAUUACUAGUACUAUCGUACACACACGCACACGCUUGGGAGAAGGAGAUGAGACGACAGAAUAUGUUCUGUUGAUGCGAUUCUGUGAUGGUUGUAUGUGGCUCUGCCGGUAGCAAGGCACGGGCGUUAUGUACGUAUGACGUUCGCAUAAGAAGCUUGCUCAUACGGGUAUAUAUGAUCUGCGUUGAAAUGUUUUAGGUAGCGACUUCAACGAGGGUGCACUGACAUUGGCGCCCUUAUCUGAUGGAACCUGACCCUGCAUAUGGCAAAAAGAAUCUCCAAACUUUUCCGAAACUUUUAUACUUGCAUAGCUGUUAAUCUCACUCUUGGCACCACUUGCAAGCUUUGUUUCAAAACGUCCCUAAAAAAAGGCUUGAAUACAUAUUCGUUUAUAGUUCCAGCACCGAAUCCAUUUACAUAGCCUGUAUGCAAAGCGACGACACAAAGCAAAGGGCAAUUGGAAUGAUGAAAACAGGCAAGCGGCCGUCGUCCCUGCGGAGGAAGAGCGCCUCAUAGACCGGGUAAUUGAUGGCCACUACCGCCGUGCAGAGAGCAGCCUGGAGAAACAAUGGUCCCAAACCCUCUGCACCUUCGCGCCAGAAAACUCUGCCCAGUCCGAGCACCAUGCACACCAGGUUGAGUAGUGCGAUCGUGCAGAUGAUCACGAACAUCGCCGAGAUGGACCCGAACUCCAUCUUCCCCUUCUUGUACCUCUCCAGAGCCUGCGAGUCGCUUACCUUUGUUGUCAGGUCGAACCCGAACUCGGAGAGGCCAAGCAUUCCGCAGAUCACGUCGAUGGAUGCCAGGAGAUAUGAGGUGAUCCUUCUGAUGAGCCACAUCCUCUGUGCGUUCCACCACUCUACCGCACUGUCACCGCAUUGCAGAGACUCUACUAGGCUGCAGGAGUAUGCAGCCACCAAGACGUAUAUGUAGGGAAUGCACCAUAGGCUAGUUAUCUGAAUGAACCGGAGAUGCAGGUAUCAUGUCAGAAUUGAGCUGCAGUGCGUAAAUGAGCUUCGAAACAUACCGUAGAAUGUAGAUUUACCUCAGGGAAAACAGAGACGCCACUGAGGAAGCAAAGUGAAGGGAUGGUGACAUAGUAUAAGGUGGGGAAGCUAUUCAGGGCCCAGAAGCCGCAGACUGAGUAACCCAUUUGAAGCCCCAGCUUGAUCUUACCAAGGCCUAAUAAGAAGGGGCUGUAUUUCGAGAGGGAGAUUUGGAGGAACCCUUCUGACCAUCUCUUCUGCUGAACCAAGAUCUGGCCUAGUGAGGUGGGGGCCAUGCCUAAGAAGCCUUUUCUUGUCGGGUUGUAGUACACCGAUCUCCAUCCACGGCAUUGGAUCUUCAAUCCUGUGAUGACAUCCUCAAGUGGGCACCCAUAUGUAACUCCCUUCUGCAAUUCAGAAACCCAAACUCAAUAACGUAUGAUCUGUAAGAAGUAAGAACAUCCUGAAGUCUUCUCUGAGGUUAUAGUGCCAUGCCUGGGUUCAUUGAUCGUAUUAUAUACCAAAGUUGGUCAAUGUAAAUUGUCCAUAUUCACGGUGCAUAUAAAGAGAUAAACAGACCUCAAUCCCCCAGAGGGUGUCGUGCUCAUAUGUGCAUGCCACAAGUGGCUUCGAUACUCCUUCCAACUCAUUGGCAUCUUCUGCUUUCCCCACCCCACUAGCCCAAUCUUCCUUGUAAUCUUUACUAAACAUUCGUCCACAUAGGGUCUCUCUCCGAUGGAAGCAUCCAGUGCCAUAGUAACACAUACCUCCCCAUCCAUCCAAGCAAGGGUGAUCCAACUGAACAUCAAUUCAAGGAAACAACAAACAGGAUUAAUCUCAAGUGAUGCAAUUUACAACUUCGGAUAAAACUGUGUCCUCCAUUGAAAUUCAAGAGUGCUAUAUUAUCUUUGUAUUGACCUCAUUGGCAACAUUGAUGGGAUUGCCAUAUAUGUCAUUGUGCACAACGUUAUCGAAGUUCUGAGGGUACUGCACAAAACCAAUAUCUCGACCUUGCUCUUUGUCUAGGAAGAAACACAAUGCAUCCCUGAUGGACUCUGAAUUGUUGGAGUACAUAUCACAAUCAACAUUCAUAAUGAUUGGGCUGUUGCUUAUCACCGAAGAUACCCUUAUCUGCACAAUUGUGAAUUCCAGAAACACAAUGAUGGUUGAAUAUAAAUGGUAAUUCUCUAGAAAACCAUGUAUAAUACCAAACAGCAGACAAAAGACGUACCAAAGCAUUCAAUGAUCCAGCUUUGAAGUGAUGUUGUUCCUGAGGUAUCUUCUCACGUGUCAUAUACACAAGUUUUGGCAAUGCAUUUCCAUCUAUAUCAACUGCCUUCCGUUUGUUUCUAUCAAUUAGAAUCUAGCAAUAGAGAACCAGUUGAUCAGAUGGAACCACCAAAAUUAUGCAGACAGGAAUCAAAAUUUCCUAUCCAUUACAGUUUCAUGUGAAGAUAGAUUCUUCACUGGAUGCAUAUCAUUAUCAACCAUGCCAGGCUUGCAUCAGUCUGAAUGUAAUUUAAGCCAAAAAAGAAUGUAUGCUUUUAGUUUGACUAGUUGAACUCCCCAAUCAACUGCACAAUUAUACAUUACAGACUAGAACAGAGUUUUUAUAAAGAUAUGAUGUUUGUGACUGGAAAACAAUAUGUGUAAUAUCAUAUAAUUGUAGCCAAAUCUUGCACUGUUAUAACCUGGAGCCACUAAAAUAAUGAUGUUUCCUUUGUUUUCCCUCCGACUACUGUGGGAUAUCUAGCCUUGAGUACAAAUGUGGAAGCUCCUUUUAGAAUUGUUCUAAUAAUGUAAAAGAUACCCUUGAAUUAUUCCCCCAUAGGUACUUGAUAAAUACAAAGAAUUUUUUUCCCACAAUAAUUCGAUUCACCAACAUUAUAUGUUAAGUGCUACAGCCAAUUCACCAGCUCUGCAUUAGCCACAGGAGUUGCUUUUCAAACUUCUGAUAGUUAUCAUAUUAUUUUAAAUUUUGGAUCAACUACCAUGUUCUUCACCUAGUAGUUGGACUCUGGCUAAACCACCAAUUUUUUACCUGGACUAUUGCAGGGUGAGCACCAGAAGUUAUCGCCCCAUUCCAUUCAGAGAAGCCUCUGCAACUGCACUCUGCAACCUCAGGAAUCUUGCCUGAUUUUACUACCGAGUUCACGCGAUCAGUCAGAUCUUCGUACAGCUCCUGCAAUUCAGAAAAGAGAAAGAAAGCUAAUGAAGGUAUAAUGUGUUGGUUUCACAGCCUUACAUGGCAGAUUAUAAUGCGAAGGUCAGCAGCCCCCAACACCAGUAAAGAUUGAAUCAGAAUGUAGCACAGCAUCAUUUCUUUCGAGUUGAGCUACAUUGCAUCAGAAUAGAUGCAGAACAAAUUUGCACUCUACCUUCAUGCGGCAUAACUCUUCAGGGCUACAAGCAUCAUGAGGUGUAGCUAUAUUGGCAAAGUAGGCAGCUGGUGACCUUGGCUCCACCUUGUAAUUUUUGCAAAAUGGAAUCCAGUUCUUUGCAAACUCAGAUGCCUCAUAGAGAGCAUAGAAUGUUACAGCGGAACCAGCAUCAUCAGACAAAUAGAUGUUUAGCUUCUCCGGCGGGUAGUCAUAAGCCAUAACAGAUAGAACAGUGGAGAUGACAAGCAUCGGUGGUUCAAGAGCUGGGUCUGCUGUACACACAAAUAUGUCCACGCCUGGAAGCUGGUCCUCAUCAUAGCUGUUCGUAGCCAGGACUAAAGCAAGUCAUUCACCACUGACAUAGAUAAUAGAGUCAGACUAAUUUUGCUCGUGUGAUGUUGCUAUUUAGAUACCAUUUUAUUUGAAAAAGGUAACCAGACAUGAAUGUGUAGCAUUAUAAUGUUGAGAUCUCUAUAAUGUUCAUGGAGGUCCUGGAGCACUACUGCAUCUGAUUUGGUAGUACUCAUGAGUCACGACUCCUAGCUGAAAAAUACCUAUGUAAUGAAUCAUAUUCUAGCAUGGGUGUGUAAUGACUAUGAAUGCACAUACACAGUGCAGCUACUUCAGCCCGGCUGAAUUAUUCUUUUAGUAAUUUGGUCUAAUGGCAUGCCAAGUAUAUUUAGUAACACGCGAACCUUUAAGACAAGUUGGUAAUGCUUUUCAUUUCCUCACAAGAUAAUUUCUCGAUUUGAAUGGCAUGACAUCUACGGGCCACAAAAUAAAAUGCCAAAUAUCAGAGGCCACACUUCUAAACCACAUCUGAACUGUAACAGAAAAUGGCUGGUGUGAUAUCUACAUUGCAGACAUAACCCAUAACACCUUCAGGGAUCACAGAUCCAAGUUGCAGGACUUGCUGCUGUGUUUCAGAAUUGGAUCACGAAACCUCUAAAGCCAAUCCCCUGAACUGAUGUGCCAGUCCAAAUUCUAGUUGCCUAGCUAAUCAUUCCACUCAACGCUCUUGCUCUACAUCCAGUCCAAAUAGAAGAAGAAACAAAAAGAAGCAGCACAGAUUAGCGGGUACUUGCCUUUCCGAGAGGCGGUAUUUGAAGGUGGUUCGGCGGAUGGGGUUCCACCGCACGGAGAGGGUGAGGACCCAGUAGAGGCCGAACCAGAGCUCCGCCACGAGCAGCCCGAGCCACGCCCGCCACCCCAAGCCACUGCUAUGCCUCGGCGGCAUGUGGGUGGCUCUGUACAGCCAUAUGAGCAGGAUCCCCGCGAAGAUGGUGCCUGAGAACAGCCGGUACGCCGCCAUCCGCUUCGGCUUCUCCGUCGUGAACAGCGGUAGGCCGCCGCCGCCGCCGGGGAUGCUACUCCCGGCCAUCACUGCCUGCGAGCGACAACACUGGUGUGGGACGGAUGGCCUGGGUCAGAGAAGAGGAGUGCAGGGGCAGGCGUUUACCAGAUGGUCAACGUUCAGUAAUAGCAGUAGCAGCACAAGACUCCGUUGGAGGCGCUUCUGUGUUAGAGAACAUUUUCUAAGAGUCCGCCAAACUGUAGUACUCCCUUCAAGUAUUUAGAAACAGAGGAAGCAGAGACUAAUGUGAUUUUGUUUUGUGUUGUUUACUUUAUACGUUAUCUGUUUUGAGUUUUAGUCGCCAUCAGCGUUCGUGGCACUGUAUGAUGGGCAUCUUCUCAGCAUACAAAACAGCACACACUUGUGUGCGUUUUCAGCAGUUCAAAAUAAAGAUAGAAAUAAAACUCACACUAACUUCUGAAGCUGUCUCGCAUCCUUUACAGACAAAGCACUACAUUGUUUUCUUUGGAACUUGUCUUCAAGCACCACAAUGUUGGUUUGUCGCAUGGAUAAACAAUUCAACUCAAGAUGCCCAAUGAAACACAUGGGUUGCAGCACGCUAUAUUACAUGUAUGUAUCACGAGUAACAGCUAUUUUAUGUUGAACUGCAAUCCCUUUCUAGUAUCCAGUUGCUUAUUCCGGAGGAGAUUCUAGUCGCAAUAUGAUUUGGCAGGCAAACACCUGAGCUCGUCAGCGACGAGAUCAAAACACCUGAACUGUAGCAUAUAUGUUCACUGUUCAGUGAAAGACCAGAGUAUUCGACUUAGAAGGUGAUUGAUAAUGAGGUCAAUAGGAAAAUUACCAAGCUACGCGCGAAAUCAAGCAAUGUGCUCUAAAAAUUUUCACAUCCAUUUAUUUGAAAAACUUUCUGAGCCCGCUGAAUAAUGACAGAGCUUUGAGUUCACCACCGGCCCUCAUGUCCCUCAAUCUCCUACGCAGUAUCUGCACGAGAUCAAAGGGGGGAAACAUGAGAUGUAGUCACAUGUUGACUACGUUAGGCACAGAGAAAAAAAAUCAGCAGGCAGCAGCGAGAGAUCUACUGACUUACGUAUUGUGCACGAUACAGGAUUCUUCGUUCACUGAUGCACAGAUCUCUUGCCAGCUGUUUUAGUAGCAAUGUCCUGUUUGCUUGCUUUGAAUUGAUGGAAACUUGCGGAGAACCCUUGGCACCCUGAAAUAUUAGUGGUUGACUUCAACUGGAAUUUUGAACGGAAUAACAUUGGUGUCAAAUUAAUGAAUGAUCAUGAUUUGAUUUGUCUGUCCUGAUAAAGCAUUCGUAACAGAACUAGUAGGCGUGGUGCAGCGUUUAAAUAUCAUGAGAAAUUCGCUGGUGACUGUUGAGUUCUCCAAGAUAUGCCAUAGAGUAGACCUCACCUCUAGGUACUUGGUAUAUUUUGUUAUAUUCGAUUCGCAGCAGUCCAAGAUAAACUGAAGAGCCUGCUCGUCCAGCUCAGGAUAAUUAACUGCAGGCUUGGACGAACUUUUAUUGGAUGCAGCAACAGCCAUCUGAAGUGAUAAGUAACAUAAGAACGCUUUGUUGACCAUCCUAUGUCAGAGAUAAAGUUUUGAACAAUUGACGAGAAAUAGCGGCACUAACCUCCUCAAAGCGUUGAAUCAUAUCAGGAGGGCUGACAACGAGGAAGGCAUAAGCCAUCAGCUCAACUGGCCACCCUGUGACCCUCAAGGGGAAACUUUCGGACCUGUUAAAGGUGAUAAGAUCCAGUUUUGUGAAUACCAAAUAUAUAACUUUGAUAGAACAAGAAGUAUACAGAACAAGGUAAUAACAAUGAAGUAAGUGUUGCACAUGAUAUACUGAACUGGUGGUAUUUUCCCCCACAAAAACAUAAAACUUGAAGCUCCUCUUGAAGAAGGAAAAAAAGAGCGACGCUAACUAAGUACUGAACAAGAGUCAGCCAAGAAAACUGAUCAAGAGCCUAUGGUGGCUGGUGCCAAGAAGUUGGAGUUGGUUUUCAUGAGAUUUAUGUCCCAGUUUGGGUGCCAUUUGCCUAACAGGCUACGUAAUACUUGAGCAGUUUUCCAGUUUUAUGUGGCUUGUCACCAUUUCCUUUGGCCUUUUGGCACGAAUUUUCUGAUAAAACUAUGGCUAUGUGCAUCUCGCAAUGCAGAUACUGGGAGAGUUUUCUCAAAUUAUUCAAAACAGUGAACCUUGUCAAAAAUCUAUGGUUGGAUGUACUUAACUCCAAGUUUGUCCCCUAACUUGUUGAAAAGUAUGCAAAUGGUCGCUCAACUUUUUUCGUUUACUUUUCGUCCCUCAAUUGUUGAAACUGGACAGCAAUGGUCUCUCCUUCCAUGGAAAGUGGUAUUACUGCCGACAUGUAAUGGUUUUGGCCUCAGAAUACCACACUGUCUUUGGUUCUUCUUUGGGGGGGCUUUCGCGAAACAAGUUGACUCGGUGAUUAAAAAGAAAAGUCACACCAACUUGGCAGGUUGACAUGGCAAUUCUAAGGCCAAAAUCAUGAUAUAACAGCACUAAGACCGCUUUGGAUGGGGUGAGGGACCAUUGGUGUCUGGUUUCAAUAGUUAGGCGAUUUAAAGUAUACGAAAAAAGUUGUGGGACCAUUUAUGGACUUUUUAAUAAGGGACGAAAAAUAUAUAUAUAUUCUCUUUUUUAUAUGAUCAGGAACUUCCCAUUUUCUUAAAAAGUUUUUUUGAAAAAGAGAGGACCAUUUUCUUAAAAUAAAGUUAAUAAACAUAUAACAACAUGGAUGCAAACACCAGAACACACCAAUGAAUCAACGACACCGACACAACAUAUAGCACCUCAUGCAAACUUAUUUCUUUUGGAGAGAAGUGAUUAAAACGUUUAUUUUUUCACAAAAUGUGUUACAAUUUAACCCAUUAAAAAACAAAAUGGUAUAUUUCUGCUUUUUUCCUUAUACCAUCGUGAAGUAAUAACAAGAACAGGCCAAGAAAGACUCCAGUCUAAUCAAAUCUCCUUUAGUGAUGAAUGAUAACAUGGAAUGAGAAUGGAACAGUCGGAGUAGUUUCCUAGCCUCCACGAUAGACAAGGUAAAUGUUUUGACUCACUCUGUGAGUAACAGCCUAUGAGGACAAGAGCACUUACUCUGACAAACCGUGUCUCUUUAGCGCUUGUAGUUUCUCUCUGUAGCAGUCAUCAGACUUAUUAAGAGACACCGAGAACUCAACUGAAUCAUUUGGGUUUGUUCCCUCUUUUGGGACAAAACCAUAUGAAAGCAACAGCUCACCACUGGAUUUCUUCCCAUAGGAUAUAAACACCUGAAAAGGUUAAAUAGAAGUGGGCAAGUUAUCUCAAGAGAAUUUCUCAUACAAAACACAGAUAAAACAAUAUAUGCAUGGAAUAAGGACAAUUGAACCCAGGCAUAACACAUACAGAGAGUGAUCAGGCCAUAAUAGACAUAAUUCAUUUAACUGACCUUCCAAAUAAAAUAUGUAUAGCAGCCCACUUAAAACCAAGUAUAUUAUGUGUGUAAAAUAGAGAACGGCUAAAGUGGAUGGAUGUGGAUCUUUAGUGGACACGGCCUAUACAAGACUCAAGAUGACUAAAUUGUCAAAAUACAAGCCUCUUGCUACAACAAAAAGGGUCAUUAUGCAAGAUAAAAUUAGAUUUCAACUUAAAUUCCCAGUUAUGUAACACCAAAAUAACUUGCAAAUGGCCUACUGAAAACUAGCACCAGUACAGAUUUUGGUCACCAUUCUCUCAUGGACGUGGCAGUUACCGAUAGACGAAAGGACUGAUGGCCUCUUGAUAUUUAAUUCAGCAUGGAGAUGCAGUUAAAGCACAAAUUGAAGAUGUUACCUGCUCACCUGGUUGAUAUGAACGGUCAGUAGUGAAGACUAUUCCUUGCGACGACUUGUCAAAAUCCAAGAAUGCAUCUACCUGGGAAAUAGAUUUUGCUAAGAAAAUAUAUAUAACAUCGUUCACUUUCGGAAGACUUAUGAAAUAACGCCGAAAGGGAAAAUUGUGGAACUUAUGGUGCUUAAGGAGCUCGGUACAAUAUUGAUAAUACUCUCUGUAAAGAGGAAAACUGGACUAGCAGUACUUAAAGAAUUUUAUACAACAUUGAUGAUGAUUCCUUGUAAAAGUGUAAUACAAAAUGUAAUACCUCAGGGUUAUGGUUAAGCAUAUCUGCCCAAGGAACUAGUGCAACCUUUCCAUCCAUUGAUGGUAAACGAACCUGCAAAAUAGUCCCGUGCAAUGUGCACAUUCUUAUCGCAGAAAAUGACAGCAACAGCAAGCAAAAAUGUUUGUAUAUGUGACCAAAAUGGCUAUUAAAAGCAUAAUGAAGAAAACCAAGGUCUGGAUAACUUUUAGUAGCUUCAUAAUACUUUCUCUUACCAGACGUGAGAAGAGAAUACCAAAGGACCAUCUAAAGUUCUCCAUGUUGUAUACCUAAAAUAGGAAAGUUGCGGCACCAAAUAUCAUGAAUCACUUAAUGAUGAUAAUUGACAUGUUUGGAAUAGUCAUAGAAUCGGACCAUAUAUUUGCGACAACAUACACCACUUCCACGGCUUUGUUUCAAUAAUGGAGUCAAAAAAUAUUUUAUAGUUAUACCAUGUCCUGAACACUUAAAUAACCGAAUAUAUGCCUCUGUAAUGGUGGGUUUUUCUUAUUUGAACAGGGGUGAAAAGUGAAAACCUAUGUUUCUAGCAAGAAUAGUCAUCUAAGCACGCUUUUUACUUUAUCAGUUUGAACAAAUAAUGUAGCAGAGCUUGCUAAGCAUACCUCCUCAGGGAACAACUCUGGAUGUUUAGAAAAUAUUCGAUCUCGAAGGUCGUUGUAUCUGCAAAAAACAUAAGGUAUGAUUCCACUGAGGGCACAACAAAGGAGGAAAACUUCAUUUGAUAAAUGCCUAGUACAAGAAAAGAUAGACAAACUUACGUCCCAAUCACAUCACCGAUCCUCGAAAUUGCCCGUUCCCUUAUUGGAGAAGCCACCAAGUAUGCAUCUAUCUCUGUACGAGUCCUGCAAUGACAAACAAAGGCUGUACAAGAUUAAGUAUGUUAUCUUAAAAGCGACUCAUCUUAUAUCUUGGGCACCAUGCCAACAGUAACCUUCGGGCUGUACCAGUACAAAAGCGAGUAAGGCUGCCUAGGCAAUGCGUCAAUAUAGCUGCUCCACCUCGAUGAGCCCUCCAAACUGGCUUCGCUUAUAAGAUAGGUGGCGAGAAGCGGCCAGUCCGGCACAGAGUAACUCUUCAUCACAUCCCCCACCUCACGGUUGCUCCAUUCCUACACGCGAGCACAAGAAGACACACUAAUUGUGAAAUUGUUACCGCCUACCGGGGUUAAUCGGUUUGGUCGACGAGAGAGAUUUUGGGGUCAUUUUUACCGAAUCGGCGGAGAUGACGAGGGAUGGGGGCACGAAGAGCAGCUUCUCUCCAUUGCGAACAUUCGUGAGGGCAACGAGGCCGCGCUCGCCGACGUCCACCCUCUGGAGGGCCAUCCGCUGCUCGGGGAGGCCCGACGCGGUGAGCCACCGCUCUAGCGAUGCCGCGCUCUCGAGGGAUUCUAUCUCGCAGCCCCAUGGGACACUCGAGCCGGCCUCGCGCUGCGCCGGAGCGGAAGUGGACGCCGCGGCGGCAUGGACGGAGAAGCGGGUGCGGGCGCUAUAGGAAGUGCAAGGGAGAGAAUACGAGCGGAGCCGGCGGGGUGCGCGCGUAUGCGGCGGUGGCCGGAAUUGCGGGUGGAGAGUGGUGGCGGUGGUGGUAGAGGUCAUGGCGAAGCCGCGAGUGCAAGGGGCUUAUCCGCUCGUUCGUGGCAGGCUCGGGGUUUUAUCGGUUACUCUUUACGGCCAUUUUCACGACGAGAAAAAAAACUUUUACCACCGUCAGGCUGAGCUACUGGGCCGAUCCAAAAACUACAAAAAGAUUACUUGCACCGCAAAAUGUAAGAAUGUAUGUAAAAGUUACUGUAUCGAUGUAUUGUACUACUCUAUCUAAUACCGUAAAAAAGACAAAAUAAGAAAUACUUUCUCUGAUUCAUAUUAAUUGUCGAAAUAUUGCAUGUAUCUAGACACUUUUUAAGCAUACAAACAUUCAUAUUUGGACAAAUUCGAAACAAUUAAUAUGGAUCAGAGGUAGAACCUUCGGAUUCUCUUUCUUGCACCAUGUGCUCUUACAUUUCAUUAAAAGUAAUUUAAUUUUUUAGUGGUACAUAUAUCUCAAUCCAAUUAUGGGUGUAGACACGGAGAUGCCCUCAGUUGUACACCAUCUCUUUACUUAUUAUUACAAGUUGAAGUUUUUAUAAGCAAUAAUACAGAUUGAACUUUAUUGUUGUAGGUUUUCCGUGGUUUGUUUGUGUACAUGUGAGGCUUGUGGUUUACAUUGUGUCUCGAUAUAACCGCGAUAACAUGUUCCGGCAAAAAUACGUAAAAGACAAAACUAUUUUGCCGUAAAGAUCCAAAUUCAGUUUGUGCAUCAGAAUCCAAAGAAUGGAACGAAAGUACUCCAGUAGCUAACAGUAACAAACGUCCCCCACCUCAACUCUUGCGCAAUGCAACUAGUUAAAACACUGUGGGACUAUCUUAUGUUGUUCAAACCAAAAAAUUGUGUGUUGUGCAGCCUAUUUAAAGACAAAUCUAGUCAUAUCGAUUUGAUAUUGUCUACGUGGCAAGUCUUUUUGUACUGAAGGUGAAACAUCAAAAUGUGUAAACCGGCACAAAAUCUAAAUCUACAUAUAUGUUAAGAACCAAACGGAGUGGAAUUUAUAUUAGGUAUAGCUAAUUAUUAUUAUUUUAAAAAAAUUGUUCAAUAUAUUUUGUCUUUAUUUUCAUGAUUUUCACGAUAUUUUGAACGCCGGUCUAGCUAAAAUGCAUGGAGUUUGCUAAAUAGGUAUGUCUCAAUAUUCUUUGAAGAAGUUUUAUGAGUCUAGAGGGCUGCAACUCACUUCCUCACCCUCUUCUCUGCACCUUCAACUCUUCACAUGAGACGUGGCGAGGUAGCCUACCACAACAACCUUCUACUAAUUUCCAAUAUCCAUGUCACUCCAGCCUCCUCUCCUACCAUCUCUUGUUAAAAAGUCAUCUCUCCUUGCUAGUGGGGGUUGAGAGCGGUGAAAAUGAACAUCCUGUGCUAGACACAGAGCCACAUGACGAUAGCAACAUUGCACCUAGGCACAUGCGAGUUGUGGAAUGUGUUUUUUCCCCUUUUGGUCGCAAAAGAUUUAUGUUUGUGUCCAUGAAUUUUUUUGUUUAAGGCCACGGUGCAUCUUUGAUCAGCUCAUUUGCAACACAUACCACGAUGCCUACUCAAAACGUCAAUGUGUCAUAUUUCCCAUGACCCAACAGUUGUUUACCCCAUUAUAGCCGUCUGUUGUUACAUAUUUCCCCGCGAGUUCAUAAACAAGUUGAUCUGACCCAGUGGGUCCGGAAGUGGUAUUGCACGGCCCAUACCCACUAGCCCACAUACCCGACCAUACCAUGUGUGGUCCGUAGUUUCAUGUAUAUAUAUAGGAGAAACCCUAGAGUCCAGCCGUGCUCACUAGUUCCUCCCACCCCGCCGCACCCCCCACCCUGAGGCCGCAAUUUCCCCCAUCUUCCAAACCCUAGCCUCUCAUUCCGCCGGUCAUCAACCUUUCCCCUCCGCCCUCUAGCCUCUCCUGUCCCCUACUUCAUUUGUCGUCUCAAUGUCUCGGUGCGAUGUCGCGACCAACGGCUGCGCCGGUGCAUCCAAGCGGCAUGGAGAUGUACUCCGACGAGACGACCUAUAUCUGCCCCGCAGGCGAGGAGCAUAAGGAGGAGAACAGAGAACUUGAUGUCCCGUAGGCGAGGAGCACAAGGAGGAGAACAGAGAACUUGAUGUUGAUGUUGACAUGGGUAGAGGACCUGUGCUGCAGGCCGAUGGCAACGUGCACGAGGUGGGGCUGGUUCUCCGGCACCCUUCGAUAUUUCCACCAUCUGCCUUCGACCUGCUCAAGUGCUCCUCCUUCUGCUCCUCGCUUAUGAUGCAGAUACAGAUCAAGAUCGACCCGUUGGAGGCAGAUGGAUGAGACCGAUGGCCCGUGGGUCAUGCAUACCCGAGCCGUGGUGCCAGGUGUGGAUAUUUUUCCUCUAAUAUACUCUAGCGUUGUUAUGUUGGAAAUUUUCUGGAACUUGCUAUUUAAGUCGUAGAUCUAGGAUUUUGCAAAUGCCCAUUUACACAUAUGUAAGCUUAAAGUAGCCUAAGACUGACCAGCUUUGAAGAUUAGCACUACAUCUGCCACAUUUGUUCAUUUAACAAAAACUAAUCAGACCGUCGUUCUCGAAACGAAACAAAUCACCUCCACUCAAACAUACGGCGUGCUCCACUCGAACAUUAAAAAAACCGCCCUGACCCAGAAAAGAAAGAACAAGACGGUACUCCAGCUGUGUAGCUGAUCGCUACGGCGCUGCUUGUCAAGGGGUCCCACAGAUUAAAACCAAACCUCGCUGACAAGAUGGGCCUACACAUACACCCAACGGGGCCAGACUUUUCCCCUCCCGCAAGAACAUCUCCACACGAUAAAACCCGAGAUGCUUUCCAUUUUUCCCAAACUCUCCAAGCAAUUUCCAUUUCCGCCGCUCCUCCCUCCCCAGUACGCACCAAGCAGCCGGCGAGUACUCCUGCAGCAUCGCCUCCUCCCUGUCCUCCUCAUGGCUGACCCGUCCAACUCCUCCCCCACGGUGGCUGCCACCGGCGACUCCCUCCUCGCGCCGGCCGCGGACGCGCCGGAUGCGGUCCUCCCCGUCGCGGCCCCCGAUCUAGACAAGGAGUUCGGCUUCCAGCGCCCGGAGCUCGGGAAGGAGAAGCUGGCCGGGACCGUGGGCUUCCACGAGCGCCACGUCUUCCUCUGCUUCAAGGGCCCCGAGGAGUGGCCGUCCCAUGUCGAGGCCACCCAGUCCGACAGCCUCCCAGGCCUCCUCGCCGCCGCUCUCAAGGCCCGCAAGCCCAACUUGAAGAAGAGCGUGAGCAUCUCUUCCGCCUCCUCCCCCCCCCCCCCCCUUCUCUUCGGCUUGUUGAUUGGUUGAUUUGGCGUUCUGAUGUAGUAUUGGUAUGCUUCCCUGCUUCUAGUGUUGUAGUGUCUUAUUUUGCUUUGGUUAGUCGAAGUGCGAGUGGGAACUGCUUGCUGGUGUCUCUGAUCUCAGGAUUUAGCUGGUGAAUAGUUUUCGAUUAGAUUGAGUUGAUAUGUGAUGGUGUGCGAUUUGUUCGUGCAGGAGAUCGCGGCUUAGUUCCGAACUGCUUUAUGCCAGUUAUUGUUUCUGAUUUGUCCAGUAGAAGCUCGAUUAUUAGCGUAAGCCGUGGUGUCGAUAUGGUCUACUGUUUCAUGCCAGUCAGUUAUGUUUGCUGGUUGAUAUCCGUACACUUCCAAUUUUCACAUUCUGUUUUGGUCCAUGUUUCACUGAAUAUCUGAUCGCCUGGUGCUGUCCUUUGAGGUUAUAGUUGUUUCAAUUGGACGUGUAAAUUGUGCUUUGGGAAUUUGGAUGUCUCAGGAAUCCACGAGUCUAGUUUUCGUGGUGAUUUGGUGUAUAUGUUUCGGAUGUGUUUGUUAUGGAUUGGUUAAUUGGAUCCUUGCCUAGAAUUUUUUGACUCGCUCCAUCCCUUUUUCUGAAUUCUCGUUGCUUUCAUAUUGGAUUUUCUUCACGAAUUUGUGUAUCCAACUCCAUUUCUAUUAAAACUUGUAGGUUCCUUGACUCGCUUUAACAGAUUCAUAUUGUUUUCAGGUCCAUCUGGAUCUUAUUACUUAUGUUGUUUAAAUCCACGUGCUGUACUUCUGAAUUGUCUGCUUAUAUUCCAAAUAUCCUGUGACUCUUAUCUUCGAGGACCUACAUUUAUUCGUUCACAAUAUGAAUGGGCAUUGUAUUUUAGAUCCAAGUUAGGCUGUAUUUGUUACUGGUUAGAUGGUUUUUCAUAAUUUGAUUAUUGCAUCAUUUGCUAUGUCGCCUGCUUAAGAAUCUAUGUUGGUUAGAGUUCGUUAUGCACCUUUGAAUUCGUAUGAUUGUCUGUGUGGUCAAUGUUUCUCUUCCCCUAGGAGCUUACUCUUCAACAUAGUGCAACAAGAUAAUAUGGAUGAAGUUGAUAUGAUACAUGGAGUUGAUGUCAAUGGGCAUUGAUCAUGUGAUAUAUGAAAUCAAUGUUAAAAGGAAAGGCAAAAGUAUAUGAUCUAGGAAUCUAGGGCGAUAUUAUUCAGUACUAUUAUGAACUUCUCUAAGCUAGAUUCUGCCAUAUGCUAUGUCCAUAUUUUCAUAACUUCACUCCUAAGAAGGUUCCAAGUUAUGUAUGUAUUCUUUGGUUGGUGUUACCUUUUUUUCUAGAGUAUUUUGGAAGUUCCCUAUUUUUUUUGUUUAUUCUGAGUCCAUUUUCGUGUCCUUCGGAUUAGCUUUGAGAUAUGUGUGUGUGGGCACGUGUACCCUAUAAUUAGAUUAAUGGAGAAGAAUUUCCAUAUUUAAAUAUAAUUUUAAUGCUAAUCAGUGGUCUAUUUUAUUUUUCUCAGACCAAACUGACCAUCUGUGAAGGAGAAGAAGGCACCGAAUCAACUCUUGGAGACGUCUUGAUCUUUCCUGAUAUGAUCAGAUAUAGGUACCUGCAAGCCUGUAGGCAAAUAAACAUAGAGUCUUUCCCUUUCUGCUUUGAAUAGUCAAAUACAUAAGUGAAUUGAUUGUUUUCCUUAAUACGUGAUAUAAUGUUUGCAGAGGGCUGACCCACUCUGAUGUCGACAACUUUGUUGAAGAAGUACUCGUGAAAGAUGUUGAAUGGGGUCCUGGAUCUCCUGAGGCUAUAAAAGGUUCCUAUGUUUUUGUGUGCUGUCAUGGAAGCAGGGAUAAAAGGUGUGGUGUUUGUGGACCAGUUUUGAUUAAAAGGUUCAAGGAAGAUAUAGAAGGACAAGGUCUUGAUGGUCAGGUGGCUGUUAGUGCAUGCUCGCAUGUCGGAGGCCAUAAGUAUGCAGGAAAUGUCAUCAUAUUCAGUUCAGAUGCCAAGGGAGAAGUGACUGGUCACUGGUAAGAAUCAGGCACUAUAAUAAAAUUCUAAUUCUUAUGCACCAGUUAACUUAAUACCUUCUUGUGGACCUCUCAAUUUUAAUUUCUUUUGUAAUUCCAGGUAUGGUUAUGUUGCUCCUGAUGAUGUGCCAGUGUUGCUGAAUAAGCAUAUUGGACAGGGAGAGAUCGUAGAUCAUCUAUGGAGGUAUGCUUCCUUCUCUAAUUGUUCCAUGUGUUGAUUUUGACUGAAGAAGUUAUUUAGUUGUACCUGUCAUUUGUAUCCAUGUUGCGUAGUGUCACUGAGGACAAUUGACAUUUUCAAUUCUGCAUCUUUUUUUCUAUUGCUACUGUAUCUGGGCACUGACAUGCUUAUGCAAACGUAUGUUGUAGAUUCUAUAAUUAAAUAGUCUGAUAACACCAUAAAAUCUGGAUGGUGCAUGUUCUAGUUUUAAUUGUACGUGCACUGUUAAUCUUGGUCAAAUGAUUUGGUUACUACAAGUACAAGUACCGUUCAACUGUUCAUAACCGUUGGUAAACUUUGAUAUAUCUUGUGUUAACUCCUUAUCUUUCCAUUUUAUCUUAGUUCAGGAAUAUGUGGUGGAGGAAAUUGAUGUCAGUUUAACUGAAAUAACUAUGAUUUAUUUUUCAUGAAUUGUAUUGAAACCCUUAAUUGUUUGAAUUAUUCUGCUCCUGUGAGGCCAUUGGUGCUGCAUUUGCAAAUGUCCUCAUUUGUAUACUCCUUUUGCAAUGGCUUUAGAAAUUUAAGAAUCGCCUUUCUGUGGUUAAUGUUGUAUAAAACACUGAUAUGUCUUUCAUGUCCAAUGAUCAUUUGGCUUGUUUUUGUUCAUUCAUAGCUGAGUACCUCUCUUUAAACUGGGUUCUUACAUGUGCUAUCCUGUCGUGCAGGGGUCAGUUGGGUUUGUCUGAAGAACAGCAGAAGGAAGCUCUGGAGCUUAGGCACAUGACUAAUGGCGUGACUGAGGAAGAAUCACGUGCCAAAGAGUCCCCUGAAGCAAAUGGAACUGCCGGUGCUGCCUGCAACCCUGCAGCUGGAGUUGGAUGCUGCCAGGGCAACGGAAGCUUUACCUGCUGCCAAAGUGAUGUUCCAGAGGAAAAACAGGACAAAGGCAUUCCAGAUGAGCAGAACCACAAGAGCGCUAAGGCAGAGAAUGACAAAGAAAGCGUUGCCGGAAGCAAGAAGGGGCACAUGAAGAUUUGCCAGAUGCCGAGCUGGUUGGAGACCUGGGAGAGGGCUGACACCUAUGCCACUCUUGGCGUUGUUGCAGCAGCUGCAUCGGUGUUCAUCGCUUUCAGGUUCUACAAGAGCAUGAACUGAAGUCCACCAAGGAAUCCUUAAAACAAGACCAGGUUUUGUGCACCAAGGACAGUCUACCUUUGUAAAACAGUCUGAUUUGAGAAUAAUACAGCACCUGUGCAUAGUAAUGCAAUGGUUAGAACUUUAAAAGUAGCUGAUCUGGAGACGACGAUGAAAAUCUGUUAUGCUUAAUGUGCUCGUUGAAACUCCUGAGUUCGUGGUUUUCCAUGCCUUGGAUGUUUGUAUCCGUUUGUAAGGCGAUGACCCUGGUGUUCUGCAUGACGAUGUUAUGCUUGUUUGGUUGGAAUUGGGAUGGUCUGGAGCAUGUGGCGUUUAAAGAAAUUGUGCAUCUCUGGUAUGUGCAUAUUGCAAGCACAAAUUCCUUUGGGAUGAGAAGCUUGUUUUCUCCUAAAUAGUAGUAGUAUGUGAUAUCGCUCUUAGGAUUGUCGUAAGUUGGAUUUGCCUAUUCUUGAUUGUUGUUUCGACAGAUUUAGGUUGUUUCGACUGUGUAAUGUUCUUUCUGCGGUUAGUAUGCGAGGAGUAACCAUACCAUGGGAAAGGUGUAAAAAAAAAAACUUUACCAGUGGAAAAUAGUCAGAAACAUGCAAUGCCACGAAGCCAGUUAGCC